Molecule: long non-coding RNA, 59340 nt
Filed under: Panax ginseng (ginseng)
Lineage: Eukaryota; Viridiplantae; Streptophyta; Magnoliopsida; Apiales; Araliaceae
Description: long non-coding RNA (PGIN_LNC002995)
Source: RNAcentral
AUUGAUGACGUCUGAUAUGAGAGGAAGGUUCAGAGAACUUUUAUGAAUUUUUCUUAGCCUCUUCUCUAUUACCCCCAUCCGUUCCAUUCUUCAUUUCCUCUUUACUUACGAAACUCCAAAGAACACAAAAGUUAUCAAAAUCUUUAGACCUCAACGAAUUUGGCAACGAACUGAAGCUGGUACAUGAAAUUGGAGAAGAUUUGAGGCAAGACCAACUUAAAGAAGGAAUUAUAUUCAAUCAAUUUCAUGCUUGAAUCACGAAUUUGGUGGUUUCAUUAAGCAAGUAAGGUAAAGAUACUCAUUUAUAUUAUAUGUAAAAAAAAUGAAAGAAUAUGUGUGAAUAUCAAUGAGAAUAUUCUGUUUGGGUUGUGAAUUGAUAAAAGGGGAUGUUGUGUACUUUGUGUGGAGUGACAAGGCUGAAAAUUUUGGGCUAGACUCCAUCCAAAUAGCUAUGAACUCUGUUUCUUAACGUGGCUUAAAGUGGUGCUGUAAUAACCCGAGAUUUUCUAUAUAAAAUAAAUAAGAAAUUUUGCGUAUAAAUUUUUUUUUAAUGACGAGACUAAGUGUCAAGUAAAGUGNNNNNNNNNNNNNNNNNNNNNNNNNNNNNNNNNNNNNNNNNNNNNNNNNNNNNNNNNNNNNNNNNNNNNNNNNNNNNNNNNNNNNNNNNNNNNNNNNNNNUAUUAUUAUUUUAGUAUUAUUCAGCUUAAAGAAAUGGUAUCGUGGAGAACCGAGUUCGGGUUUCAAGUACCUGGAUUUGGGGUCGUCAUAGGUGCACUAAGCGUGUUUGAUAAAAUGCCUCUUAGAUGUUGUCAAGCUUUAAAAGUAAAAAAAUUUGUUAAUGUUAUGAACAAGAUAACUUUUGUAUAUCAAAUUUGAUGUUACCUAGGUGGUUUAGCUGAAUUAAAAAGGGCUUAGAAGCAAGUUUAUGAAAGUUUAACAAUUUUGCUUUAAUAGGAAAUCUGAUGCAUCUGGGCAGUUUCAUGUCUUGCAAGUGAAGCUUAGAAUGUUUUUUUUACUAUGUUAUAUUUUUAUAAAAUAGUAUGUAGUACCAUAAAGAACAUAUUUCAAUUUGAAAGCAAUUGGAUGAAAGGGGUGCAAGAUAUAAAAUUUCAAAAUGGCCUAGUUGGAUUGCUGCAGCAGCGGUAGCAGUAACUGGGCACGCACACCGGCUACUGGAUGUCAGUUGCGCUGCCUUAUGUCAUGCAGAUUGUGCAAAUUUAAUGACAUUAAAUUGUACUGUAUUGUGUUUCGUGGUCUAUUUGGUGAAACGAAAUAGGAUGUAUAUUGAUGGCAUAUAAGAUUCAGUUCUAGAAUUUACUUCUUAAUGAUUUGUAUGGGAUAUUCCUUCUCUGUUAAGGUAAUGUAUCCUUUAUCUAAGAUAGGGGCAUUAUGAUGAUUUAUGAAACCUUUUAAAGGAGAAAUAUGACUUUAAACCCAUUAUGACUAUUCAUACAUCUUAUGUUCCUGAUAAGGAAAUUGGUGGGUUGAUGGGAUGAUGAAGUUUGUGUGUAAUGCAUCCGGGCCAAGCCUUAACAUAAUGAAUAUAUAUUAAGGUUGGUAUACUGUAUAUAUAUAUUAGGUUACUAUAAUGUGGUGUUAUUAUUAAUUAUAUUUCUGAACUCAAAUCUGAUACUUGAUAUUUUAAUGGUAUCGUAUAUUAUAAUGGUAUCGUAAUAUGAGUUAUAACAUGAGUCAAAUCAAACUUGAAGUGUUAAGCAUCAAUGUUACACUUGAUAAUGCUUUAUGGCAGUGCUAAAGGAAAGCAUUUUAUCACAAAUUUUGAUUAGUUCGUAUUUGUAGUGUUAGAGUAACUUACAAUCUUUAUAUAUCCAUUAUAGUUUAUUACGAUGGUAUAUGAAUUAAUGGGUAUCAAGCAAUCCGUAAGUGAUUCAACAAUUAUAGUGGUCAUGUGAUUAUACUAAUAAAGACAUUAUGAAUGACAUGGAUAUUCAUAGCAACAACAGAUAUAGUUGAUACGAGUUUAAUUGUAGUUCGUGGAUAAAGUAUACAUUAAGCUGUGUACCUUAUGUAUGUUAUAUAGGUGCUAUAUGAAGUCAUAACGCUUCAAGUUCACGAGAGCGAUUAGAACCGGUAGCAUUUUCACAGAAAAGGCAAGUUUUUCAGUUCUGUUAUGUUUGUGGAUGGAAUGUGGUUAUGUGCUAAAUUAUAUAUCAUGCUCUAUGAAUUGUUAAAGUCAAAAUAUGACUCAGUUAAUUGGGUUAUGGAACUCAAUUUAUAUGUGAUUUGUGAUAACACAUGUUGUAUGAUGUAACUCGAUAAAUAAAAAAUGUAUAAUGCAUGAAUGUAUGCUUUGUAAGGAAUUAUUGAUGCAUGUAGGAUAUGCAUAGUAAAGAAUAUAUGUUGCAUGCGGAUAUGCAUAUUAAGGGUAAUGUAGUGUAUAUGGAAUUGUGUGCUAUGUGAAACAUGAUAGACUGUUAAAUUUGCUGGGCUGUCGAGCUCAAUCUUGCAAACACAAACUUUUUGCAGGUUAAUGACGUUAUGCAAUAUUAUUUUUGUUUUGCGGAUGAUGAAGGAUGAAUGAUGGACGAAAUGAAUACAUUUCUUUGAAUUAGAAAUGGUAUAAAGCUAUGAUUGAUAGUUGCUAAAUAUAAUUGACAGUAAUGUAUAGUUUGAAAUGUUAAAUAGAUAAAGAAUGUUUGUUCUGAAAUGAGAAUAAAUAUAAUUUUAGUAUAAAGAAGAAUUGUAAAGGUUGCGAUUCAGGGAAUGAAUGAAUGGGAAUAAAGAAGAAAAUUAAAAUUUAUUCUGCAUUUUUAGCUAUUUUAACAUUAAAUAAUGUUUUAAAGCUAUAACAAGGUAGUAUUAACGCACAAGAUCGGGAAGGAAAAUGGUCCCGAUUUUGGGAUUGUUACAAGAACCGACGGUGGUUCCUGGUGGUGGCUAGUGGUGGUGGUGGCGGCGAUGGUGGUGGUAGAGAUAAGAACAGUGAUGAUGGUGGUGGUGGCUGUUGGUGGUGGCGUUUGGUGGCGGCGCGACAAUGGUGGUGGUGGAGAUGAGAGUAGUGAGAGAGAGGUGAGACUGAGAGAGGGUAAAGUGAGAGAGAAAUGAGAGAGAGAAUGAAGUGAGAGAGUAAAGUCUGACUGAAAUGAGAGAGAGAGUAAUGUGAGAGAAUGAGAGGCGACUGGGGAAGACGAGCUGAUUAAUUAGGUUUAAAGAUUAUUUUCGACGGAAUUUCCGUCGAACCUAAAUCCGUCGUAAUUAACGUAUCUUCGACGGAUAUUUCGUCGAACAUAAACACUAUUCAGUCGAAUAUAAGGUUGGCGCUGGCGGGAACAUUGGCGCCAAUGGGAUACAUCUAUUUUCCGACGAACAUCUGUCGAAAUUAAUAUAGUUUCGACUGAAUUAUGUUCGACUGAAUAAUCCGUUGGAACAAUUAUUAUCUUCGAGGGAAUAUGUCCGUCGAACUUAGUUCCGUCGAAAUUAGCCGAUUUUCUUGUAGUGUGUAGCUGCAAAUGUACGUAAGAUCAAUAUUAACUUUUAAAAAGUUAAUUUGUGAUGUUUUUACAUUAAAAAUUCAUAUGAUUUAUUUAAAUUUUGAAAAUAAUAGUUUUAUAAUUAAUAGUACUUUUAUAAUAUUUAUAAUUAUAUUGACAUUAAUUAAAUAAAUUUAUAUCAAUUUUAAAUUUGAAUACAUUUGAAAUUAACUUUUAAAAAAAUAAGUCAAUAUUAAUUUUAUAAUUUGAAAAUGAAGAUGAGUUGGAUAAUGAUUGAUGAGUUGUCCACUUAAAUGAGGGUGUGAAAUGUUAUUUUGCAUACAUAGAGAACAGUCUUUUGACUCCCUCAUCUUGAGGAGCAAAAUCAUAUAUAGAGAUUAAAAUAAGAGUUAAAUAAGGAUAAGGAAACUGUUGGAUAAUGAUUUGUUGAUGCAUUCUUCAAAAUUGGGGAUAGAGAGUUUAGUGGAAAAAUUGUUGUGAAUGCUCUAAGAACUUCAUUCUAAAAAUAGAGCAUCUUUGAUUUUGGUACCAAAAAAUAUAUCUUCAAUUCUGAAAUUUAGAGAGUAUAAACUUUGACCUUUACACUUAAACGGCUUAAAAAUACUUGACCCUACAACUUUCUUCAUUUUAAAAAGUGAACCCCAAUAUUUAGUGUUUAAGUUAAUGCUUAAUUUUUGUCAAUUUUGAGACAUUAAACUUUGUUGUCACUGAAAAUUAAUGUACUCAUUUGUAUUAUUAAGAUGUCGCGUAAUAUAAUGUAACUUCAAUUACAUGAGACUGUCGCGUAAUUUUUCAAUGAUUAUAAACUUUUAUGUGCAUGUUUGGUUAUCGUGUUUAAAGCGUUUAGAAUUUCAAACGCAAUUAAAAAUCAUGUUCAUCUAGUAACAAUUUAUUUUAAACGCAGUUUAUUUAACUCACAAAAGCAAUGGUUGGCCCUCAAACGCCAUGCAUCAAAAUUAAAGAAGUGUGUUUGGAAGCUAAACGAUACAAACACUACCACCACAAACACUACAAAUGUUGAUAGUCGAACAAACUUUAUAUGUCGAAAUCCAAACUUUAUGAUAUAAUGUCUUAAACGUUAAACGUUUGGUUGAUAUGUUUGAUUUGCUAUAAAUUUUUUACUACCAUAUCUCACAAAAUAUGAUGAGUCAUCGAAUCAUUGUCCAAUUGUUGUAGAAAAGUUCAAGGUGUGAUAUGGGUGACAAUUAAUGCCCUUAAUGCGUGUAACAGAUAGCUUUUUUUUUUGUUCAGCGUUGCGGCUAUUAUGGAACUAACAUAUAAUACAUGUUGGUCAACAAGUCCUCACACAUUAGCCUUCCUUAUUUUUCAUCGUCUGGCCCUUUGAAAUUUUGGCCUCCCCAUUUCUCACUCCUCCUCUCAGUUUUUUUUUGCUAUAAAAGGUAAUCAAAUUGAAGGAAAAUAUACACACCAAAAUUCAUAUACUCUCAUCCGAGAGUUUAAGAGAAAGGAGAGAGUGAAAAGUUUCUUUUGAAGUAAUUUGAGUUUGUACUAAGAUUAAGAUAUCUUUAUAUUCUCUUAGUUUAUUAUAGCGAAUUAUUCGGAGUUUGUCUCAUUAUUUUUACCUCUUAGUUUUAGAGGGUUUUCCAGGUAAAAAUCUGUGUGUCUCGUGGUUAGAUAUUUUUUAUUCAUUAUUUCUUGCAGUGAUUAUUAUUUUGGUGGACUACAAAUUUAAUCUGUUUGGCAUGUGCUGAUAUUUUAUUCAUCUAAUUUAUCAAAAACAACAAUAUUUGGGAGGUGAUUUUUCCCAACAAUACAGAGUCAUGCAUUAAAUGCUUAUGUAUUGUGCUAAAUUUAUGUUAAAUUAAAAUUAUGAAACUUAUUAAUAUAUAUGAUUAAUAGGAAUUAUAGGAAGGUCUCACUUACAACAUUCUGAAUCUUGCAACAUUUUUCAUAAAUUAUCUUGUCCAAAUAUUCUGAAACUUUCAGGGUAUGUUUUUAUCAUAUACAUGUACUUCCUAUAAAAAGUUCAUAGUUUUUAAAGUUAACCACAAAUAGUUAUUCAAGUUUACUUUUAAAAUAGUAUUUUCUUGUAAAAUCCAUAACUUUCAUUCUACACAUCCAAAAAUAGUCAUAUUUGGACAUGACCUUUAUAACUCAUCAUGUUAUCAUACCAAAUUUUUCCAGAAUUUUUAAAGCACAAAAAGUGGAUGAAACAUCCCUUACAAGAAACUGGCCAGGAAACUUUUCUAUUUUCCAGAUUUUUGUUGUUGUUUGGAUAGUUUUGGGAAAACGCAUGAAACUACUUGCUCGUUUAAUAUUUUUGAGUGUUACCAUUUGAGUUUAACAGAUAACUCACGUACCUAACAUAUCUCUUUUACAGAUCACAAAAACAAGUUGUAGAUUUCAAUUGGUAAAGCCUCAAAUUGGGCUGAUUUCUAUGGUUUUUAUGGUCAAAAAUCAAUUUUUGUGCAUCUUUGGUUUUCAAGCUUUUCAUCACUUAAAAUGGCAAGAUUUAAUCAUGAAGUACCCUAUAACAUGUAGAUCUAGUAUUAUAUGAAUUAAGAUCUUGAACUCAACAUUUAUUUCAAAACAACCACAAGAUAAACAUAGAUCUAGUUAGGUUUUAAGGUUAGUAAACUUUUAAACCUUCAUGGUUCUUCUUCUUCUUCUUCUUCUUCUUCUUCUUCUUCUUAAGUGGUUGAUGGAGCUCUAAGUAAUGAACCAAAGCUACUCUCCUUCUCCUCUCUAAGCCCCAUGGCAGCCCCCUCUUGCUUCUCUCUGUCUUUCUCUCGCUCUCUCUCUUAUUUUGCUUUCUCUAGCUCUUUUAAGAAAUGAGAAGUGUGUAAACUUUUUGUUACAAAUGAGAUGGGGGUAUUUAUAGAUAGUAGAAUGUAUACAUAUAACAUUUAUAUAUAUACAUAUCUCCUAACAUAUCUUCCAUAUUCUCUCUCCGUAUAUCUUUUUAGAUCUUGUAAAAUCUUUCCUUUCUCUUUCCACAUCUUAGCAAAUCUUUAAAUAUAGCAUGUGCUCAAAUCCUUGCAAAUCUUCCAAUAUCUUCCAUUUUUUAUUUUCUUUAAUUACUUUAAUAGCUUAUUUUAGUUUCUAGAAAAAUUCAUUCCAAGUUGGGCCAAGAAUUUAGGUCAACCCAUAUAAUCAUUUGGGCUUUAAUUUAAAUUGUUUGGGCUAUAUAAAUUAGCAUAUUCCCAACUCUUAAAAUUACUUACCCUAAUUAUUUAAUUAUGAUUUUUAAUCCACUCAUUUUGGAUUUUAAAUAAUUACUUACAUAGAUUUAAUCAUGUAACCUAAUUAGGUUUCUUUUAAUUAGGUUAAUAUAAAUAAUCAAUUGAGAUAUGUAAAAAUAAAUCUCUUAAGUUAAUUUACUAGUAUGUAAUUUAAAUACGAGAAAUCUUCAAUAAUUAUAACCAUUAGGUUAAUUAAUUCUUAUACCUAAUAUAUAAAGAUUGGGUUGCAUUAACUUUCUUUUAUUUGUUUAUUAUAUAAUAAACAAAUAUAUAUAUAUAUAUAUAUAUAUAUAUAUAUAUAUAUAUAUAUACAAUCACAGAAGAUUCAUAUUCAUUUAUUUUACAUAUCCACUCUAUAUAUGUCUCAAAAUAAUUUAAUAUGUUGAGACAUAUCCCACAUAAGUCCUAAUGUAUUUAUCCUAAGCAUUCCUCUUGCUAAAAUAUAUAACACAUCACUAAGUAUAUAUAUGUACCUAUACAUAUACACAUUUUCUUUAACCUUAUAACAUCUCUUCAUUUAAAAUUUAUUUCCUUAAUAAAAUUUUCCACAUAUUGUGAGACCCCGAAUUUUAUGAAAUUAAAGUAUUCAAUUUUAUUAUAAUUAUUCUAUUUAGUAAAUGGUUAAAUUGAUAAAAGGUUAAAGUUAAGGGUAUGAAAAUUUCUCAAAGUAAGCAAGUUGUCAUAAAAUAAUCGGUAGUAAAAGUAUAGUAAUACGUGUGGUUGCAUAGUAGCACACAAUACUGAUUAUUGGUGCUUACGUGAGAAGUCACUCAGUUUUAUUCUAUUAUUGUCACAAUAUUUAUAUUAUUAAAUCAAUAAUUGAGACGACAAAGUUAUUCAUAUUAUUAUUUGCAAUAUUGACAAUGUCUAGAAGUUCUGUCAAGGAGAGGUUAGAUAAUCUAAUUACGCGCCAAUAGGGAGAAAUCCUUAUCGGAAACCCCCCUCUUUUCUGGGAACGACCUGAUUGUUAAAUAUUGAGAGUUAUAAUAUUAAUGAUGAAUAAGUUUGUGUUUAUUAAAGAUGAAAUUGAUAGUUCCAUUGUGUAAGAAUUAUUAGUGUUAGUCGAAAUCGACAUCUAUUUUGAUAAUAAUUGAUGUCUGGAGGUUAUAUUGAUCAAUCGGGUAAUUAAGCGGAUAAAUGAGCAAUUAAUUGCUAUUGAUUCACAUGAUUAUAACUAUUUGUUCACAUGUGUGUACUAUUGAUUCACAUUCAUUUACUAUUAGGGGAGUUGGUGCAAGAUUGAUAAUACUUGCAUGACUAAGUUAAAAAUGGAGGUACUAUACUGUAAUUCGUAUUUUUACAUGUCUAGAACUAUUGAGUCACAUGAUUUACUAUUAGGGGAGGUGGUGCAAGUUUGAUAAUACUUGCAUGACUAAAUUAAAUGAAGAAAAAGAGGAAGGUAUUAUACUGUAAUAUUUUGAUCCCCAAAACGUGCAAUUAUCAAAACUAUAUUUUCCUAUAAAUAGAAGUUCAUUAUUCCUUCAUUUUUCUCACCAAUUCACUAAAGCUAUAGAGCAAUUAUUAUAGAGAGAAAUUAUAGAGAUAGAAGCUAUAGAGAAAAAGAAGAAGAGAAGUCUGCUACUUCACUAUUCCAGUAUCCAGUCUUCUUCCAAGGUAAGGGGUAUUAUUUAUUUCAUAUUCUGAAGAGAUAUUAUUUUUCGUAUUCGUAUGAAUAUUAUAUUCGUCAAUAUUCGUAAGAAAUAUCAUCUUCGUUCAAUAUUCGUAGGAAUAUUAUUUUCAUUCAACAGUCGUAAGUGAUAUUAUUUCUUCGUAAAUGAUAUUAUUUCUUUCAAUAUCAUAAUGCCGGAAUAUUGGUACGAAUUUUACUGUAGAAUUUCUACCUUUUUGUGUCGGGGUUACUAUUCUCUCUGGUAUUAUUCACUCAGGUAUUCGAGACACUUUUCAUGCCAGACUACUAUUCACGAGUUACUAUACACGGGUUACUAUUCACCCGAUUACUAUUCACUUUAGUAUUAUUCACUCGAGUAUUCAGGGUACUUUUCGUGCCGGAGUACUAUUCACCCAGUUACUAUUCACUCUAGUAUUAUUCACUCGGGUAUUUGAGACACUUUUUAUGCUGGGGUACUAUUAACGAGGUACUAUUUCCGAAGUACUAUUCACAGGGUACUAUUUACGGAGUACUAUUCACCCGAAAAAUAUAUUUCUUUUCUGUCCAAAUUAUUUUUGGUACAUGAAUAUUAUUUUUGAAUUUUACUCCACAAAGCAGUAUCAUGUUAACAAUUUAGAUAUUUUUAAACUCUAGAUAAAUUUAAAGUCUUUAAUAUUUAUACUUAAUUUCGUUUGAUUAAUGCUUAUAUCAUUGUCAACAUCCUCAUGCUUAUAUUGUGAUGAAAGUCAUCUUUGACUUAUAUGCAUAGAUGGACUGUUGAUUAUUGGUUUUACAGUUGUAUAUUUUUGGCUUACGUGCAUAGAUGGACUGUUGAUUAUUGGUUUUAUAGUUGUAUAUCUUUGGCUUACGUGCAAAGACGAACUGUUGAUUAUUGGUUUUAUAGUUGUAUAUCUUGGGAUUACGUGCAAAGAUGGACAGUUGUAUGACAUGAUCAUAACCACUGAUGAUAAUAACGAAUAUCCUUGGCCCGUAGUGCAUGGAUAAUUCGAUGAUGUGAUUGGCAGGAUCAUGACCAUUAGUUAACAAUUGAAUGUCUUUGGUCGUAAUGCACUGACAGACAAUUGAUUGGUAUGAUCAUGACCAUUGGUUUUGUAGUUGAAUAUCUUUGGCCUGUAGUGCAAAGGUAGACAACUGAUUGGUAUGAUCAUGACCAUUGGUUUUGUAGUUGAAUAUCUUUGGCCUGUAGUGCAAAGGUAGACAACUGAUUGGUAUGAUCAUUGUUAUUACAUUUAAAUAUCUUUAGCCUUUGGGAUAAGGAUAUUGAGUAAACGUUCUAUUAAGCCUUUGUGUCAAGGAGAAACUGUUGAAUUACAUGAUUAUAAAUAUGAAUUAUGGAAUUAACUAUAAUCUUUGGUGGUUCAGGUGAAGACAGGUGAUGAGAGUUCUUUUUGUCUUGGGUAUAACAAAGAACUGUUGAUGGGUAUUACAGCGAUAAAAUUGAUUAUAAACUUUUUAAUCUAGAAGAGAUAGUAGACAUUAUGUUCUACUUGACUCUUCUAAUGGAUUGCUUAUUCCGCUGCAGUUAAACUUGAUGUUUAUUGUAUUUUAUUAGUUUAACACUGUUGAAGGCUAAGGAUAAUUUAUUUUUCAGUAUCUUAGUCAUAAUAUUUCUUACUGGGCUAGUUGAGCUCACCCUUUUCUUUCAUUGUUCUCUUCAGGAAAUGAGAAUAUAGCUGGGACGAGUCAAAAAAUGGAGUGAUGGUCCGAGAUAGUUGUUUUAGCAGUCCUCACUACUUAGUGUGAUAAUAAGUGUAAUGAGGAUUGAAUUUGAGUUUGUAUAUUGUCUAUGAGACAAUAUUCAUGUUUAAACUCAUCUAUGUUUUGUCGUAUUGUACACGAUAGUUGUAUAAUUAAGUUUGUAGUUGAGUUCUGUUCCAUGUAUCUGGCGACCCAAGAUGGGUGAUAUAUACCUGUUUUGGGGGCGUCACACAUACAGUCUCUUUCUUUCUUUUCAAAAUUUCUAUCAUUCUCAUUUAAUUUCUUUACAUUGCUUAAAAAUUUAAAUCAAACCAUAUAGGUUCUUAAAUUUUUUUAAUUAAUCCUCUAAUUCCCAUAUAGGUUUUAUUCUUUAACCUUUAUUUUAAUCAUUCAAGAUCUUAUGAAUUUUCGGGUUGUCACAUUCUCCCACUUUCCAUCAUUUCCAUUUUCCUCUCCCAUCUCCACGUUCCUCUCUCUCUCUCUUUUUAGGCUUACGUUUUUAAAUUUUAAAUUUUUUUUAUUAUAAAGCCUCCAAAUUUAGUAAUAUUUUUUUUUUGUAAUUGUAUCACACCAUAUUUUUAAAAUUUAACCUCUCAUGUUCUACCUAUUUAUUUCCUAUCCAAAUAGUAUUUCCCUAAUUUUUGACUUCUUUUUAUCUUUAAUUCCUUUUAGACUUUUUUCAGCAGCCCGAUGCUUACUUCCAUUCGAUUCACCCUCGAAGAGACAAGGAGAGUAUGUCAAUAUGCCAAGGUAGAAAUAUUCUUUUUGUUUUGCUUGGAAAGAAAUGAAACCCAAGCACCUUUUCUUUUUUAUGGGAACUCUAAUCUCAAGCCUCUAAAACUCCGAAGUUAUAAAUUGGAUGUAUGUAACCUUGAAAAAGGAUUUAUUUUUAUUUUGAAACUGUUAUAUAUCAAUCAAAGAUCCUAUGCCUGAGAUUAAUAAUGGCAAAAGUUCUUCCAAGUCCACAUUCUCUAUGGGAUCAUGCAUGUUAGGAUAUCACAAGUAUGUUGGUGUCUCAUAUCAGAUAAAUAAUGAAACUGUGAAGAAUUAAUAUACAUGAAUGGGCCCAAGACUUAAGGGCUUAAGCUUUUGGGUCAAGUUGAGUUUUAAACAUAUAUGUUAGUACCUUGUCUACGUGCACAUAACGCGCAGGCUCCCCAGUUCUCCCCAACAACUGGUAUCAAAGCUACAGAAGAUUGAUCUCGGGCUAGUGGAUCUCUUCAAAAGAAAUACACGAUGGUGAUCCGAAAAUUACCAAAAAUUAAUUUCGGACACAACAUCUUCAAAACACGCGAUGGUGGUGAAUUUUGAUGAAGGGUUGGUGUUUUCCCUUUGGAUGCUCCCGAUGGUGAUGUUGAAUUCUCGAUGGAUUUGGCCGAGAAUUGGUUCCUAUUGGUGAUCCGCGGUGAUUGAAGAAUAGAAAUUCAAUUCUUAAUGGAAGUUGACUCUCGGUGGAGAAAAAGGAACCCAGAAUAGUUAGCCAAGAAUUGGUGUGCAGUGAUUAAAGAGAAGGUGUUCAAAUGAGGGGGAGCUCUUGAUGUUAUGAACUUACUUGCGAGGGGGAGAUUGUUAGGAUAUCACAAGUGAUUUAAAGUCUCACAUUGAAUAAAUAAUGAAAACGUCAAGGAUUAAUAUACAUGAAUGGGCUCAUGACCUAAUGGCUUAAGCUUUUUGGGCGAAUUGGGUUUCGAACAUGUAUAUUAGUGCUUUGUGUAUGCGCACGCGACGCGCGAGCUCCCUUGUUCUCCCCCAAUUUUACGAUCCAUCUCAUAUCAAUUCAUCACCAAUACAGCACAUAUCUGUGUAAACUAGCCAACAAGCAUGUUGGAUCAUCACCUCCUUACCUAAAAGAUUAACAUAUUAGGUUAACGGUUCUACCAUACUUAUUAACUCAUCUACACUCUUGAAUUUAUGCGAUUUGGGAGUCAUGUGAAAUUUUUCGACAAUCUCUACCCUUCACUUGACACAUUACAAGUAUCAUAUUAGAAUAGUCACUAUUGAGCACACUUACUUUGAGUCCUUCAAGAGCCCUUGCUCGAAUCUAAUAUUACUCCACCACAUCAGUCAUAAAACAUAGGAGUAUAACAUUACUCCUUGUGAAACCUUCACCAUGAGCAUCUUCUUAAAGUCAUAAUGAGUCCACUCCAUUCAACUCAAAUCAUAUUUUACCGUGUAGUGGCGAACGCAGAAGUAAUCCAUUGUGCUCCUGUAAUAUAUUGAAUUUUCAAAUUCAUAUUAAACUAAAUUUUUAUUAAAUAAAUUUUUAUUCUUGAUAUUAUUUAUUUUGCAUAUGUAUGUAUGUGUGCAAUGAGGAAUGAAUUUGUGGUAAUAGUAAAUAUAUAUAUAUAUAUAUAUAUAUAUAUAUAUAUAUAUAUAUAUAUUUACUAUUAUGAAUAAAUUGUUUUGAAACAAUUUAUGGAAGGAAGGAAGAAAUUUAUUAUACAUAAUAUAAUUUUGUUAAGCUACUAAAAUAGCCAAUGGAAUAAAUAUUAGUUAUUCCAACUAAUUGAUUUACAACAUAGAAAGUGUUAACUUUAUUAUGGAUGAAUUCCAUAGUGGAGGGAUUUUUAUACAUGAUUAUAAAUGUAUAAUAUUCAAUUUUGGGUUAAUAAUUGGAGUGCAUGCUAUUAUAAUAUAUGAAUUAAAAUUGUGAGAAUAAUGUAAUGUUAUAUAAAUAUGUAUUAUAUAUAUACAUAUAAGUAAUAAGGAUAUAAGUAAUAUAUACAUAAUCAAGCAUGUUGGGAAUUAAAAGAGAAUGUGCUGAGUCAUUAGUUAGAAAGCAUGAGCUGGAGACUUGCUAUGCUAUCAAAGGUACUCCUCCAUUCCUUGCCUUUCAUCCGGCCCAAAAAGAAAGAAAAAGUUCCCUUACCCUUCCAUCCGUUCUAAAAAGAAAGAGAGGAAAAAAAUUUAUUCUCUCAUCUCCUCCAUUUCAAAAUCAAUUCCAAGCAUACAAGAAGAAACUUGAUGCCGGGCGGGAUAGCGAUUAUCCUGCGGGCAGAUAAACAAAUGAAUUCACAGGUAAAGAAACAAGAGAUUCACCGAAAAUACAGAGAAAUCUCUCUCUAACGUGUAUAAUAUAUUUAUAAAAUCAAAGUCUCUCCAAUUCAACCCACAAGCUGGGUAUUUAUAUAGAUAACAAAAUUUUUUCUCCAAGUCAGUCUAGAAUCUUCCUAGAGAUAGGGAAAUAAGAAAUAGAAAUAAAAUCCUCCUAGGGAUGUGAAAAAAAUUCUAACAAACUUUCUAGAGAUACGGAAAUAUAUAUCCUAACAAAAAUAACAACUUAUUAUAAAAGAUUUACUGCCUAAUAAAAUACUAUUACUAUAAAGAACUAAAUAAUAAUAAUAAUAAUAAUAAUAAUAAUAAUAAUAAUAAGGUCCAUCGACUUCUGAAGUUAUGACGCCUCUUCGGAAGAAGUUCGUCACACCCGAAGUCAUGACGCUAUCCGAAGCCAAAAUCAUGACACCAUUCGAAGCCGAACCCCGACCCCGAAGACAUAGACCGAACGUUUUGACCCCGAAGUCAACCGAUACCUUGGCGCCGAUCCCUUAACUUUUGGUCCUUUAGUAUCGUCAUCGUCCUUCCCAACCUUCCAGGAUCUUCAGCACGAAACCAUCCUGCAUCAGUCUCUCCGUGUUGGAAAGAACUCGUCCUUGAGUUCGACACAGAUAGAGUGGAAACUGUACAAGAAGAUACUUCGACAACUGAAAUAUUGUCCUUUUGAUUCGAUCCUGGGACAAGAUAUAUCUACUGUUGAAUGUCCCUCAUCGCCGAUAGUCCUGAUGGAAGCUCUUCAGGUAAUUCAUGUACAUCGGCUGACACUCCAGUGCUUUCAGCUGUCGAACCGCUCCCACAAGAAAGUAGGACAUACACCACACCUUCACGAUCGACCUCUGUUAGGAAUCUAGUCAUGGAUAAUAGGUUCGGACUCCCAACUGCUCGAGCCGAACUGUCCCCUUCUCGCCGAGGUGCUAGUACAACCUUAUUUCCUUUAAAAUGAAGGGAAUACGUGUUCUUUCGACCAUCAUGAAUGACUCUUCGGUCAUAUUGCCAAGGUCAACCCAACAACACAUGACAUGCAUCCAUUGGCACCACAUCACACAAAGCUUUAUCAAAAUAUUUAUUGCCGAUGGAGAAAGAUACUAAGCACUUUUUAUCCACUCUUACUUCAUUACCUUUUUUAAACCACGACAACUUAUAUGGUUUAGGAUGCCGAUCCAUUUUCAACUGCAAUUUCUUGACAGCCUCUUCGGACACUAUGUUCUCACAACUGCUACCGUCAAUGAUUAACUUGCAGACUUUAUUUUCUAUGGUGCAAGUUAUUUGAAAGAUAUUGGUUCUCAACCAAUCCUCUUCGGAAUCACCUUUAUGAUUUGGUAGACUCUUGCGAACGAUCAGGGUCUCCUAGCUAUCUUCAAACGAUCCAUUCUCCUCUUCGUCGCCAUCAUCAUAAUAAUCAUACUCAGGUUCUCCAUAAGGUUCUCCUUCAUCUUCAUAUUCGUCAUAGAUUUCUUCUUCAUCUGCAUAUUCGUCAUAUACAGGUUCUCCAUAUUCCUCUACUUCUUCCUCAACCAACUGUUCAUCAUCAAAAUCGGAAUUAAAAUAAAAUCCCCCAUCACUAUCAAGGUGCGAGAAAUAUUCAGGGACUUCCUCGGUCGGAUACUGUCCAUGAAAAUAAUACUCUUCCUUGUCAUAAUCAAGGCGUGGGAAAUACUCCGGGACUUCCUCGAUCGGAUACUGUCCAUGAAAAAUAAUAUCCUUCCUUGUCAUAACUCGAUUCAGAAUCAUAAGAUUCUUCAUCGUGUUUAAGGUGUGGGACUUCCUCAGCCGGAAACUGUCCAUGAUAGUGAUCAAGGUGCAGGACUUCCUCUUUCAGAACCUGUCCACGUCGACCCCGAGUUAGCGCUUUAAGACACCUGGUUAACUCUGUAACCUAUCUCUGUAAAUCCUCAAUCAUCGCAUCUUGAAUGUUACGAUCCUGGUCCGGGUCUUCCUUAGCCGAAAUCUGCCCUCGAUGACCACAAUCAUGACUAUCAACCAUUAAAAUCGAUGAGUCUAUAAUUCCCAGAAAGAUGUUUGAGCUUUGAUACCAACUGGUGUCGGGCGGGAAAACGAUUAUCCUGUGGGCUGGUAAACAAAUGAAUUCACAGGUAAAGGAACAAGAGGUUCACCGGAAAACACAGAGAAAUCUCUCUCUAACGUGUAUAAUAUAUUUAUAAAAUCAAAGUCUCUCCAAUUCAACCCACAAGCUGGGUAUUUAUAUAGAUAACAAAACUUUCUGUCCAAGUCAGUCUAGAAUCUUCCUAGAAAUAGGGAAAUAAGAAAUAGAAAUAAAAUCCUCCUAGGGAUGUGAAAAAGAUUCUAACAAACUUUCUAGAGAUACGAAAAUAUAUAUCCUAACAAAAAUAACAACUUAUUAUAAAAGAUUUACUGCCUAAUAAAAUACUAUUACUAUAAAGAACUAAUAAUAAUAAUAAUAAUAAUAAUAAGGUCCAUUGACUUCUGAAGUUAUGAUGCCUCUUCAGAAGAAGUUUGUAACACCCGAAGUCAUGACGCUAUCCGAAGCCGAAGUCAUGACACCAUUCGAAGCCGAACCCCGACCCCGAAGACAUAGACCGAACGUUCUAACCCCGAAGUCAACCGAUACCUUGGCGCCAAUCCCUUAACUUUUGGUCCUUUAGCAUCGUCAUCGUCCUUCCCAACCUUCCAGGAUCUUCGGCACGAAACCAUCAUGCAUCAAAACUAGAGUUAACAAUUGAAUUGACAUGAAAUUAGCAGCCAAUUGCAGCAAGAGGAAUACUAUCACAGCCAUCAUCAAACUAGAAAUUUCAUGUGUUAAGGUAUAUUGCACUUCCUUAGUUAAAUUCAUGGAAAAUUAGUUAAUUAUUCAUUGUUGUUGCUAUGUUUGGUUGUGGGAGGUAAAUUAAAUGGAGAAUCAGACGGAUUCAGGAGUAAUAAGGAAGGAGAUUAUAGCUUAAUGUAUAUGCAAAGUCCUAUGAAAUCUGUCCCAAAUUUUAUCGCACAUAGGGUGUUUGUGAAAAUUCCUAUUACGGACUGUUUUGCUUAAAUAUUGAAAUCUAGUAGAGUUGGGGCUAAGAAUUUUUAUAAGCAUGUUAUAUCAAGUAAAUGAAAUGGUUUUUGUAGGUUUAAAUAGGGUAGAAAUCGAUUUUGGAAUGAAAGUCAUUUUCUUGCUCGGUUUAAAAAUUGUCUCAGUAGAGCAUUUUGAGGACUUUGUUAGAUUGGCCUAUAAUAUCCGAAAUUGGAUGAGUUAUAUUUUAUUAAAAAUACCUUGUCAUGCCCUUUACAACAUAUUAAAAUUUCAUUUCAAUCGGAUGUAUAGAUUACAAGUUACAAAAUCCCAAAGCGAGACAGAAAAGAAUUGUGGCUACAGAUUUUGGGCAGGACUCGGCACUGCAGCGCUGGCUACCAGGCUGCAACGCCUAGUCCGUUUUGGUUCCAGUUUGGGUUCAUGUUGGUUUAAAAAAACAACUAUGCUUCCCAUUAUCCCCUUAAAGGAAUGGCCACUUAAUUUGGACAUUUCCAUAAAAAGAAGGUUUCUUAAAUUGGGACAAAGGUGCAAAAAAAAAAAGUAAUCUCUUCGUCCUAAUAUACAGGAUCAAUUUUGACUUUACAUUAUAUCAUAGAAGGAUUUAUUGUAACUUGUAAGUUAAAGUUAUUACUUAAAGGUUAAAAAGUAAAUAGUUGUUUCACUGAGAUAUGGCAUGAGAUAUAUAUAUAUAUAUAUAUAUAUAUAUAUAUAUAUAUAUAUAUAUAUAUAUAUAUAUAUAUAUAUAUACACACACACACACACACACACACACACAUAAAAGAGGGAGGAGAAUGGAACUUCAAGAAUACAAGAGAAAAAAAAAGAAAGGAAAGAAAACAAGUAAUGAAAAACUAUAAGAAAAUUUUCAAUUGAUCGUUACACUUAAUUUUAACAGUUUACUUGGUAUUAGAUUUAGGUUUAUUCAGUUAUAAGAUAUCCUAUCUUAUUUUCUCAUUUCAUAUUUCUUGCCUUUCCGUAACUAUAUUAUAGUUAGAUGCUUCUGUAAUAAGGAGAAUAAAAGUCCACAGAACUAGCAAAGGCUCUGGUCUUGGUUUUCAGAAAAUUAAGAAUUUGUAGUAGCAGCCACGCGCUGUGCUGUUGCGAACAUCUCAACUGGGCUGUUUUGGCCCUCUAUAAACCUUCCUAGAAUGCCUGAAUUCGCUAAGCUAUAUUUUUUUUAAAAUACUACGAUAUACCCUCUAUAACAUGCUAAAGUUUGGUUUCUAUUGGACUUGUGGUUUGCAAACUAGAAAAUAGAAAAAAAGGGGCAAGAAAGCAUGGAUGGAAGUAGUGAAUGACCUGUUUUGGCUGCUGUGGCUGAACUGUUUUGGCCAUUGGGGCUGUUUUGAUCAUAAUGCUAGAUGAGUAUAGGAAAAAGGGGUUUUGUUUGAAGACAUUGGUGUAAAAAGCCUCAUUUGUUCAUGAGGCUGCCCUCUAAAUUUUUCAUUGGACUGUUAUCCAGAUGAAAGUUGUAAAGAAGGAACUGGAGUGAUUAAGAACAAAGUGGAACAAUAGGAAGCCCAUAUUACAUUAUAUGCACUGUCAGGACAUAGUGCCAAUAAUACCAUAAGGAUUUUGGGCAUGACAAAUGAUGAUAAAAUCCCAAAUAAUAUUAAUAAAUAGUGGGACUACUAACAAUUUCGAGUAAUGUAUUAGGAUAUUGACUGUGUUACUCGGACUCGUCAUUUUUGGUGGAGUACCCGUGUCGACACGACACGACACUAGUACGGGUGCGGGAUUCGUACGGGAUCCGACCAUAAAAAUCCAGAUACGGCUAUUUUGGAAGAAGAAGAAGAGACGCGAGAGGAGGAAGAAGAAGAGUUGCUUGAGAGGAAGAAGAAGAAGAAAGUAAGAGACGAGUAAGAUCUGAGAUGAGGAAGAAGAAGAAGAGUCGCGCGAGAGGAGGAAGAAAAAGAGAGUAAGAGACGAUUUGAUCUCUGAGAUCCCUGGAAAAUUACAGUUAGGUACCUCGUAGUUUUUACAAUUUUUUAAUUUAGUCCCCCAGGUUUUAUGAAAGUUCAAAAUAGCCCCUUGAAAAAUUACAUAUCAGUCCCUGUAGUUUUGUUUUGUUUUUCAUUUUAGCCCCUGAAGUUUCAGUUUUGCCCCUGUUUCUUUAUAUUUUAACACUUCAGUCCCUAGAGCAAAAAAAAACUUGGUGAUACAAUUAGAAACAUUAUUGUUAAAAAAUUAUAACAUAUCGUAUCCCCGCACCCGUGUCCAAAUUCGGAUCCAUAUCCACGUAUCUUCUAUUUUUUAACUUCACGUGUCCGACACCUAGAUUCGUACCCGCACCCGACGAUAUUAAAACUAGUACAGUAUAUUUCUAAAAACAAAAUUAUAAAAAAAGUUAUAGUUAUAAUCAAAUUGUGAAUUAUAAUUGGAAGUCAUAAUCAUGUUAACUAAAUGAAUUACGAAGCUUGAAAAAUACAAAGUUAAAUUAAAAGUACAAGAGAUAUAAGCGUAUUAACUUAUAUAACAAAUAUAUUAUAUAACAACCAUGUUAUAUAGGUGUGAUACGAGAUAGAAUUGCUUCGAGUACACGAGAUUAAAUAAAUGCAAGGAACGGUUGAUUAGCAUUUCGUGAUUUCAAACCAAGGCAAGUCUUCCAGUUUCUUUGUGAUUUUAUGAAUUAGUUAUUGCAUGAGAUUUUCAAGAACAUGUUAAAUUACAUGUUACAUGCUAUAAACUGUGAAAGUCAAUAUAUGACUAAGCUGAUUGAGUUAUGGAACUCAAUAUAUAUGUGAUAUAUGAUAUGGGCAUAUACUGUUUAAGAUGAUGAUGCAUGAAUGGUAUAAAGAAUUAUGAGAUAUAUGUUGAGCAUGAGACUACGUGUUAUAUGAAGCAUGAAAACUGUUAGAUUUACUAGGCUGUCGAGCUUAGUUUUGCAAAAAUGUAAUUUUUACAGGUAUGAUAUGCAACACGAUUUCUUGUUAUCUGGAUGAUAAAGAAUAGAGGCCUACAUGCAGGAAAGUUAUUUCCUUUUAAGUAAGAAUUAUAUUAUAUCGAAAUGACUAUUUUUGAUGUGUAAAUGAGAAUUGUGUAAAUAUUCAGUUAUUCGGUAAACGAAAAAAUGUUUGUGUUAAUUAAGAUUAUAAUACAGUUUGGCAAUUACCUUAAAAGUAAUGUUUUAUAGGAAUGAUUCUGUAUAAGACAGGAUAUGAGUUAAGAAAUGAGUUAGAUAUACUUAUAUCACUCUGAUAAACUAAAUCAUAAGAAUGAAUAUGAUUUUGAGAUAAAAGAGAAUCGUAAAGGUUGCAAUUCAGGGAACGAAUGAAAGACAGAAAUAAAAGUUUUAAAUUAUUCUUUAUUUUUAGCUAUUUUAACAUUGAAUAAUGUUUUAAAGCUAGAAAAGAUAAUAUUAACGCACAAGAUUGAGAAGGGAAAUAGUCCCGAUUUUGGGGUCGUCACAGCUCCACCUGACUCAACUAUAUUUGCUUCGCUACGCAGACUAAGUAAUACACGGCCAACCUGAUAGUUGGGCCUAUCAAACCAUGGGCUCUGAUACCACUUGUAGUGCAAUUUUACGAUCCAUCACACAUCAAUUCAUCACCAAUGCAGUGUAUACUUGUGUAAAUUAGCCUAACAAGCAUGUUGGAUCACCUUGUUACAUAAAAUGUUAAUCUAUCAGGUUGAGGCUCCAUCAUACUUAUUAACUCAUCUACACUCUUGAAUUUAUGUGAUGUGAGAUUCAUGUGAAACAUCUCAACAUAUCAUUCCAUAUAGCUAUAAUAAGAGGUGAAAUUCAAUAUUAACUCUCUAAAAAAAUUACAAGUAACAUUGGUAACUUCUCUAUCCACUAUUAUCAAUCUUUUUAUCAAACUUCCCUUUCUCUCUCCACUCCUCUAAAAUCUCAUCUUUGUAUAAAAAAUAAUUUUCUAUCUGCACUACUCUCACUUCAUAUGAGUCUUUAUGAUCUCAUGGUUCUAUGUUCAUCUCAAACUCACAUCUUCUUCUCCUGUUUUGGUUUUCAAAUUAUUCACAUUACUUUUUAUUUCAAUUAUUGAAACACCUCAAGUAUUAUGGGAUUGAAUCCUUAUGCAGUACAAUUAGUAAAUGGCAAGUUUAAGUGUUCUUCUAAAAUUUGUUUGUGUUGCUAUUGUUGUUAAUAUUUUUUUCUUUUCAAAUAUAAUGUUUAUAGUAUUUCGUAUUUUUUUCCUCUUCCUCCAUUUAUCUUUCACUACAAACAAAGUAGAGUCGUUUUACACACGACAAGAAAAUGGCACAGCAGCGACCAGUAAGAUCUGUGAUUGCAGUUUUCGAUCGCUAAUUCCAUUAAUAGCUACCGCUAGUAGCAACCAUACUCAGAAGUAAUCACUAUUUCAAUUAGCGACAUCGCUCCAGUCGCUGAUCGGUCGCUAUUUGAAUUUUGCAGCUUUAAAUUUGGUGCAAAUGUUGGCGAGGGAAAACUUUUUGCAACCGAUACAAUUAAAAACAGCGACUGCAUGCGGUCGCAGAAAGCGAUCGCUAAUCCUUUUAAUAUCUAAUAGACUCCACGGCACGCUUGCCUGAGGUGGUCGUCUCCCGGAUCGUUUCUAGCAAAGUUGUAGGAUGAAUUGCUCUCAAUACCUUAACCCCUCGCCUAUAUAUAGAUGAUAAUCUCGGGUACAAUUGAUCCUGUUAGAAAUUCUGUGUUGAAUGGACACCAACGACACCUUGACCCCUCGCUUAUAUUGAAGCGGUAAUCUUGAUACAAUAUACGAUUGAUGCGAUAGAAGACGCCACACACAACUAUGUAUUGUUGUAUGAUAAGUCAAUAUUGAACCUCACAGAAAAACCAUGAACAGUUUGAGAGUUCUCAAAGAACCGAAGGUGAAUAAUUUCACCAAAAUUUUAUUUAUAAGUCUCCCUAAUACAUCAGCUAUGUAUUCUAUUUAUACUAAUAAAAUAACCCUAAUUCUAUAAGGAAUACGAAUUUGAAUGGAAAUAGAAAUUCUAGCUAACAAAUCACAUGGAAAUCAAAUAAUAUCCAAACGUAACAUAAUUACGAUAGUAAUCUAAAAAUAUUAUGAAAAUAUACUAAUUUACAAGGAAAUCUGCGUCCAAAUCUGUCAAAACGCGUCAACUAAAUCAACAGAAAAGCGACCAACUCGUCGGGGCGAGCUCUCAGUUUUUAGUGUAUCCAUUUUCUUUUACUUCAUGGGUUAGCACGCUCACUUGUAUCCUCCUAAUCACGAACUUAGAAGUCAACUAAAUAGCCGUGUAACAUGAACCCAAUUCGUUUGUUCCAUGCAUUCCAACCUCGUGUUGUCGUGUGAUAGAUUGUAUGCUCCCAUCCAUGCUUCAAUAUUCAAAACGUCAGACAUAAGCUUGUAAUCUUCCCAUGAACUGGAACAUAACCUUGAUGCAUAUUAGACGGCACAAACGAACAGUCUUGAUGACUUAACUUGAGCUCCAAUGAAAGCAUCAUUGAGUAGAUUUUAGCCCAAUCACCGAUGAUCAUUUGUUGAACCCUCGGUACUUGAGUUGGGUCGUAGUUGUUUGAUGUGAGCUUGGUCAAGAUUGUAUCAUUCCCCUCCUCUUGAAAAGGAUUUGUCCUCAAAUCUGGCAUCCUCUCCCUUUGAAAAUGACUUAUCAACAAAACUGACCCUACAUAAAAAUAAAUUGAGUUAGUAACAUCAAACAAAUCAUAAUCCAAAUUCUCAACUUGCAAAUGAAUUAUACAAACAAAAUCAACAAUGCAAGUAAGAAUAUGAAAACAAUCAUCAAAAAACUUCCACUCUCGCUAAGAACACAACAACAUUCGGCAUUUUCCGUGCAUAGACAAGAACAACUUGUAAAUGCAUGUUUCGCUCCAAGUGAUGCUCGAAAUAACAUAUAUAACACCUUGCAACUGUCUCGUAUAACCUGAAAACUUAAACAUUCGAUCUCCCUUAAUCAAGAACAUGUUCACAAAAUUAGGACGCUCUUACAUUUGAAGACCAAAUACUUCCAAAACACUAACUACAUCAAAACAAACUAAAUUAGUAUCUAAAACUAAAAUGCAAUCAAUACUACUACUAACUAAAACAAAUGCAUAUAUAGUAAUUCCUGGAUCAAAUAUCAGUAUGAAGAACUCUUCUUGAUGUAGAUUCUUUCGAAUGAUGAAUUCCCAGAUCAAACGUCAAUAUGAUGAUCUCGUUCAUCCGCAUAAACACAUCUUCAAUGCACCUGAGUUAAAUAUCAAUAUUUAAAAGUUCUCACGCCGCAUAUGCAAAAAAACUUGUAUUCCUAGAUUAAACACAAAAAAAAAAAAAUCAACAUGUCUCUUUUCCGUAAUUAAGGAAAACUCAUGAAACUCAAAUUCAUAUGCAUAGUCUACUAGAAAAAAAUCAAAACACUUCCUUGUAGACUCUCAAUGCAUUGUCUCGAAUUGAUUGCAGAACAAACCAUGUCACUCUCCUCGAUGAGUAUGAUCCCAUCCCGACCCUGUACAAUAAAAUCAACCUUUCUCUUUCCAUUGAUAUUCAAGAUGAAAACUCAAGGCGUUCAACUUUGGAAGACGAUAAGAGGGUAUAUUUACCUCUUUAUAUAUGCAUGUAUAUAUNNNNNNNNNNNNNNNNNNNNNNNNNNNNNNNNNNNNNNNNNNNNNNNNNNNNNNNNNNNNNNNNNNNNNNNNNNNNNNNNNNNNNNNNNNNNNNNNNNNNNNNNNNNNNNNNNNNNNNNNNNNNNNNNNNNNNNNNNNNNNNNNNNNNNNNNNNNNNNNNNNNNNNNNNNNNNNNNNNNNNNNNNNNNNNNNNNNNNNNNNNNNNNNNNNNNNNNNNNNNNNNNNNNNNNNNNNNNNNNNNNNNNNNNNNNNNNNNNNNNNNNNNNNNNNNNNNNNNNNNNNNNNNNNNNNNNNNNNNNNNNNNNNNNNNNNNNNNNNNNNNNNNNNNNNNNNNNNNNNNNNNNNNNNNNNNNNNNNNNNNNNNNNNNNNNNNNNNNNNNNNNNNNNNNNNNNNNNNCUUUAUAUAUAUAUAUAUAUAUAUAUAUAUAUAUAUAUAUAUAUAUAUAUAUAUAUAUAAAUGUAUAUACUUUUCUGGAAAAAUUAAAGUUUGUGGCUUUAAUGAAAUUUGAUACAAUAUAGUGUUUAUAAUUUUUUAACAUGUUUCUGUAUGAUUAUUAAAGUUUGUGGCUUUAAUGAAAUUUGAUACAAUAUAAUGUUUAUAAUUUUUUAUCUGUUAUCAGUAUGGUAUAUGUCAAUGAUGAAGGAAACACAAACAAAUUUGCCAAGCCCGAAAUUGCAAAAUCCGAUGAGGAAUUGGUUCAGAUGUUUCAUGUGUUUCAAACAAUUUAUCGAUUUUUCCCCUCUAGUUUGGUUAAUUUAUUGUUUGAGUUGCAUUUAAUUAAUUAUUUUGGAAUAGUGUCAUUGUUUAAGUGAAGAACAAGCACAUGUUUAACUCUUGUUUCUUCUCCUCCCAUCAAGUCCUUAUGGCAAAUUGAAAAUUGUUGUCUUGUUUCUCAAUGUGGACGGAAAUAAAUACUUAUUAUUCAAUGUGGAAGGGUAAUAAAACAAUUGGAAAAUAAUCAAAUUCCUUUUUUUAAUCAUGUUUGAAUCUGAUUGUAUAGACUGAGAAACCAUCUUUGGGAGGACUCAAUGACACACAUGGUCGAGGAUGUUUUUUUUUUUUUGAUUAUAUAUCGUGUUUCUUACUUUCAGAAUAUAUAUCCUUGGUCAGAUAAUUAGUUCUAGUUAUUGUAUAUGGACUAGACGUUAGGUUUGUAGGGAUCUAAAUUAAGUACUUGCAGAAUGUUGUAUUAAAUAUUCAUAAUUAAUCUAUUGAUGUUGAUUAAAUAUGUUACUGGUGUGAUCAUUCAUUCAUUCUCUAGGUUUUUUCCUCUAAUCUAUUUUUAGUUGAUAUACAUAGAAAAACACUAAUACCCUUGUGAAGAACAGAACUAAAGUAAAAGUGAAUAACAUAUAUAGUUAAAAAGUUGCUCAAAUCAUUGCAAUUAAAUUAGGAAUAUUUUUAGCCACAAACAAAAAGUUUAAAAGUCGGUUAAUAAAUUAUAAGUGUUAGAUCUUUUCUGCUUACUAACCAUAUAUUAUCAGGUAUCUCACAACCUAAAGAUUUCAUAAUCUUAAUAAAUUAAAUUUGACAUUGUUUAUCGUAGUUAAUUGUAAAUUAGGUCAUAAUUGCAAUAUAAUAUGAUCCAAAAUAUUAUAUUGACCAUAUAUUACGUACAUGUUGUAGAUUGCCAAAUUAAUCAGAAAUUCUUCCAAAAUAUUAUGGCAUAAUUGUAAUAUAAUAGGAUUCAAAAUAUUAUAUUUCCCAUACAUUACGUACUUGUUGUAGAUUGGCAAAUCAAUCAGAAAUUCUUCCAGUUCUCCAUCUAGACCGAUAUAAUAUUGUGGGCAAGGAAAUCGUACCUUGCUAGGGUUAGGGUUUCGUGUUGGCUGAGGAGGAGAGAAAUCCACUAAGAAUACGGAAUUGAUUGAUUGAUUGAAGAGGAGAGAAGAACAGGUGAGCGAUUACUCCAACAACACGUGACAUAACUCUUAAAAUCUGAGAACCUUGUUAGGGUAGCAAGGAUUUAGAGAGCCUUCUUGAGUCUUUGGGUUGAGAGAGAAUCUCCAAGUCUCCUAGUCUUCCAAAAGGUCCAAGUCCUGAGUCUGAAGAGAAGUCCAAAAUGAAGUCCCCUUCCCAAUGGAGUGGAAGGGGUAUUUAUAGGAUUUUAUAGAGAGUGGUCAUGUGCUAGGCACAUGAUCUCGGAAAAAUUUCAAAUUUACCCUUAGUCAUCAGAGUAAUGCCCAGAUCAUCCUGCCCUUCUAGCCACCAAUCCAAUCCCUCAAUCAAUUCCCAAAAUGAGUCGCCUCCACGUGUCUUCUGCCUUGGGACACGUGAAAGAUUCUCUCAGAUCUUGCUUCUUUUAUUUUCAGCUCUUCCGCCUUUUUAUUUAAUUAUAAUGUGAACAUUAAUUUGUGCAUUUAAUUCAAUUAGGUCAAAUAAACCCUAAUUUGCACUUGCGCCCACAUUUGCCCCCUGUGCGAGAGUCGCGUCCUUGGAGUGACGAUCGUGCAAAAUAACUUUGUGAAUCCUGCUUCAAAUUUUUGAAAAAUCUGCGGAGCUGUGCAAGUCCUGAAAACAGAAAAUCAUAGGAGAGGGAACCUAUGGGAGCUCUCCCAAUAUAUCUUUGAAAAUCUUCUAUCAAAUCUUUCCAAACCUUGCAUAAUAUUUGUUUCCCUAAUUAAUUUUUAUAUGUAUAUAUAUAAAUAUAUAUAUUGAAAUCAAAUCAAAAUAAAUUAUAUAUUUGUUAACUAAAAUCAAAUCUUAAUUAUUUUAUUUUGUUAAUAAUUAAGAUCAAAUCCUUCCUUAUAGAAAAUCAAAUCAUUCCUAUUAUUUUGUAAAUAAAAUCAAAUCAUUCCUAUUUAGUAAUAUAAUAUUUGUUUCCUUAAUAAUAAUAAUGCUUUUUUUUUUUCUUUUAGUUGCUUUGUUGUACUAAUUUUCACAUUCAGUUUGAAGUUCUCAAUAUUUACAAGUGUAGUCCUUUUUUGUUAUUGUUUCACUACGCGGAAUUGAAUUUGAAUUGACCUUCUAACAAGCAAAUGCUAUACCAGAAGCUAAAUUUUCUCUUCAAGCCAUUUGUGAUGCUUUUUAGGGAAACUUGUAUGACAAUAAGAUCCAAUUUAUUUUCCUGGUUGGAUUUUAUUUACAAAGCAGCUAAGAUCUUAUUUUAUUUUGGAAAAUAAAAUAAAAUCUUUCUUUAUAUAAAAUCAAAUCAUUUAUAUUAUUUUGGAAAUAUAAUCUAAUCAUUUCUAUUUAGAAAUAGAAUAUUUGAUUCCAUAAUAUAUAUAUAUAUAUAUAUAUAUAUAUGUAUUAUAUAUGUAUUUUUUUAUUUUUUUAUUUUUUAUUUUUUUGAAACUAAAUCAAGACAAAAUCAAAUUAUAUAUUAUAAAAUAAAAUAAGAUCUUAUUUUAUUUUGAAAAAGAAGGAUCAAAUCUUAUAUAUAUAAUAUAUAUCCAUGUCCCAUAAUAAAGUGAUCAAGUGUGCAGCAAAGUUUAGUUAGCCUGUAUGCAUGCAUAUAUUCAAAGUAAUAACCUCAAUCUUGGUAUGAUAAAUGCAACAAGUUUUCUAUAUAAAUUUGGAUGUUACCGAUCUCCGGCAUUGAUUAAGUGAUUGCCUUCCUUUUCGUCAAUGUCAAUUGUCCCUCUUGCUAUGCUGCCACCCUUGGUCACUGUCUUGCUAAUAGACGCAUGAAACAAAGGCAGUACUGAAGCUCCAGCGAUUAGAACUUGUAACCACUUGUGAAGAUUUCAGUAAUAUAAUCGGCUCUUUAUCAAAUGGCACGGUGUACAAAGGGACUCUGUCAACUGGAGUUGAAAUAGCAGUGACAUCUACUGUAGUGAAAUCAGCUGAAGACUAGUCAAAGAAUUUAGAGACACAAUUCAGGGACAAGAUAGACAAGUUAUUAAAGAUGAACCACAAAAACUUUGUGAAUCUUAUUGGGUUCUGUGAAGAACAAAAGCCUUUCACAAGAAUGAUGGUUUUUGACAGGUAAUUGUAAAAGAUGUUACCAUGUGAACAUAUGCAUGCAUACAUGCUAUCUGAUGCGAUCAUCAUCCACCCACUUCUUAGUAAAAUCACAUAUACAUAUAACAGAGCUCAUUUCGGGCAUUACAAAGUUUGUUUGUUUUUUUUGGUUUUUUUUUUGAAUUCGAUGGAUAUGAUGGUUCGAUUCCUAAUAUAUGAAUAUAUGAUGAUAUCUGCUCCUCUAUGGGUUGAAAGGUUAACCCCUGUGAUGACAUUUGCUCCUGACAAAAGAAAGAAAAAAAAAGAAUAAGCUUAUCUUAUGCAUAUAAUCCUUACAUGUGAUUGAGUAGCAUCCAUCUAUGCAUAAACCGAACAUGUUUUUAAUUUAUCCAUUUAUGUAGCAUCCAUGUUUUUUAUUCUAUAUAUAUAUAAUUGCAAUAGGACAAAGCAAUACUGUUUUUCAGAUUCACGCCACAAACUUUUUCAAUUGAUUUUUUUUAAAAUUGUUACUAUUAUUAUUUUUUUUUUGAUUGUUUCAUCGAUUUCUCUUUUCAGGUGAUUGUAGUUUUUCCUUUUCCGGGCCAUUUCACCUUAACAGGAUCUUGACUCGAAUAUUCUCAAAGAGAAAGCAACACCGCAAGGAGGAGGAAUUAAUUCUGAGCCAUUUCACCUUAACAAGGUCCUUGCUCGGAUAUUCUGAAAGAAAGGACAACACCGCAAGGAGGAAGAAUUUAUUCCGAGCCAUUUCACCUUAACAAGGUCCUUGGCUCGGAUAUUCUGAAAGAAAGGACAACACCGCAAGGAGGAAGAAUUUAUUCCGAGCCAUUUCACCUUAACAAGGUCCUUGGCUCGGAUAUUCUGAAAGAAAGGACAACACUAGAAGGAGGAAAAAUUUAUUCCGAGCCAUUUCACCUUAACAAGGUCCUUGGCUCGGAUAUUCUGAAAGAAAGGACAACACCGCAAGGAGGAAGAAUUUAUUCUGAGCCAUUUCACCUUAACAAGGUCCUUGGCUCGGAUAUUCUGAAAGAAAGGACAACACUGCAAGGAGGAAGAAUUUAUUCCGAGCAAUUUCACCUUAACAAGGUCCUUGGCUCGGAUAUUCUGAAAGAAAGGACAACACCGCAAGGAGGAAGAAUUUAUUCCGAGCCAUUUCACCUUAACAAGGAUCUUGGCUCAGAUAUUCCGGUGAAGUAGCAUUUAUUCCAAUCAGUUGAUUCAACGAGUAAGGAGAAGUUAAAUGUAAGAGGGAAGAGCUCCUUAGGUGGCUAAACCCUACGGGCCAACCCUUAGGGGAACCGACCUAAUGGCCUCCUCUUUCACAUUUUCCCGUUCUUCCUUUACCCUAUUUUUAUUUGAAUGGUUCCUAAUGCUUGUGCUCUUUUUCUUCUUUCAGGUGUUCGUGAUCCUUCUUUCCCGAAUCCAAUCUUCUUAUUUAAGUUUCAUACCUUCUCUCUUGUUAUGGUAAGCACUUAAUUUCAAAUGCUCAUUCACUUUCUUUCCUUGUUUCCAGAAUUCUCAUGUUAAGUUUUCUUGUUGCAGGCCAAUUCCAGUGAACGUUCCACAGACCCGAAAACUACUAAGGAAGUUCCUUUCAUCAGCGACUAGGGGCUCCCUUUUAUGGGUCUUCUGACGUUUCUGGGAGCAAGUGAAGAAUUAUGAUUGAACAACCUUUUUUCCUCCUGAGAAAACAGGUUUAUUUCUAUAUGCUAUGGCUUGCGCAAGCUUAGACAGCUUUCCCUGUUCUGCUCGCAUUCCCCGUAUGUGUAUAGAAAAACAGGAGUACCCCUACAGUCCCAUUCGUUUCAUACCCGACUCAUCCAAUCGUCUUCAGGGGUGGCAACAUUGGACCGACGAGGUUCUCGUAAAUUCUGAUUAUGUGGAUAUACUGAAGAGGGCCGACAUUCUGCAUUGCAUUCAGCUAUGCAGGGAUCUUCGUAUCCAACAAGACCAUGAUGCUCUUACCGUCUUGAUUUCACGUUGGUGUUCUUCCACAUGCAUAUUCGUCAGUACUGCUUCGGGGGAAUGCGCCUCUACUCUGGAGGAUGUCUAUGUCAUCUACCAGUAAGAAUUUGCCCCCUGUGCGUGAGUCACACCUUUGGUGAGAUGAUCGCGCAAAAUAUUUUUUAAGUGUUGGAGUCUUCACUUCUUGAAACUUGAUGUUUUGUAAGCCUUGAAAACGAAAGUCCUAGGAGAGUGAACCUCUAGGGGAGCAAACCCUUGGAGGGCAAGCCCUAGAGGAGCUCUUCAAGGAUAUCUAGGUAUCUCCUAACUUUCCUUGGACAUGUCUCCCUUCCAUGCUAGGUUGGAUCUCUUUAUUUCCAAUCAUCAUGUUGUUGCACUUCGUUCGGAAGUCACUUCACGUCUCCAUGAGAAUGACUUACUUUAUGUAAACUUUAGGAGCUUCAAGAUGCCAUAGAUAAAUUGAAGACCAAGCUUUUGGGAAAUUGAGUCAGCUACCCAAGACCUUGAAGGCUCGAUAGCCUCCAAUACGAAGGCUCAGGGUACCACACCAUUGUCGACUUGAAGGCUUUAGCUAUUCCCCUCUCUUUAGUUCGACAUGUCAUGGCCUUUAGAUCAUAAGCUUUCAUAGUUUUUUCCAUUUCCUGUAUCAGAAAAUUCAUGUACAUAUAUUUCAUUUAUCAAAUUAUGGUUUCUUUUAUCCUUAUUGAUUGCCUUUAAUUUGAACGAUUCUUUAAAAAUCAAUAUUUAACAUUGAAUCUUAAGUUGUUCGAAUUAAGACUCCAAGACAACAAUAGGUCUCAUAAAACAGCAAACAUGAUUCUUUUCAAGAAAAAACAUGUUUUUUUAUGCAAACUAACACUUGAAUCUAUACUUUUUUUUUCCUUUUUUUUAAAAUAUUAGAAAAAUAUUCAAGCAUAAGCCAAAGUUUGACAAUUUAUUGAUAAUAAAAUUGCUUUUAACGAAAAGCAUAACGUUUCAAAUAAUAAAUUCUCGAUUACUUUUGAAGUUGAAAGUAUAACUUGUCUGGUUCGAGGACUUAUAGUCAGGUGCCUCGAUUACUUUUAAAGUUGAAAGUAUAAUUUCUCGGGUCUGAGGACUUAUAGUCGGGUGCCUCAUUCAUUUUAAUGAUAAAGUGUAACACUCGGGUGCCUCGUCACUUGGGUCGUCCAAUUUCUUGGCAAGUGCAGUUUACGAGGACUUGAAAUCGGGUGCCUCGUCACUUGGGUCAUCUAAUUUUUUGGCAAGUAUAGUCUACGAGGACUUGACCACCAUUUAGAGUGGACCACCAUCUUGGCUGGAUUUUUAUUUAUUUAUAUAUAUAUAUAUAUAUAUAUAUAUAUAUUUUAAUUCGUCAAUUCUUAUACCUCCAACCUUGGUCAUCCAAUUACUUUGCAAGGGAUACUCCUGAGGACUUAAACCACCAUUUUUGGUGGACCACCAUCUUGGGUGGAUUUUUAAUUCAUCUGUAGUUCAGAUUUUUUCGAUGGUAGAGCCAGUAUUUGGGUUCUUGACUUUCGGGAUUGCACCAUGGGUGAUAGUGUUAUACGUUUAUUCUCCUAAUUCAAUCUCCCCGGCCACCAACUUCUCAUGGUAUAUCCUCCACAGACUGUAAUAGUCCAUAGUGGAAUGUCCUGCGUAUUGAUGGUAUACACAGAAGUCCGGUCUUCUUUUCAUCUCUUCUGUUACAACCAACCGGGGCCUUGGAGGCUUCACCACUCCAUGCUCAACCCAUUGUUCCUACAGGCUCUUGAAUGCCUUCUCGCUGCAUGUAAUAGCCUCCGAAACUGGCAUUCUGGUAUAUUUGUCCCCAUGCUUUUCUCUGCUUCACUCAAAUUUCUCAUUCUUUUCCCUCUUGCCCCCUUGUGGUUUUGACUGAGAAUCCGCCAAAGCCACAAUUGCUGUCCUCUUGCCCUUCCAUGUAACCAUCGCAUGGCUGGUGGGAAAUGUCAUGAUUCCUCCCAAGUCUUGUGCAAAAGAUGAGAGGGUCACAAAUGAAUCACAAGCUUUGGUAAUGAGGUGGGGCUUGAAGGCGUCUAAAGCACCAUUGUUUCAUAUGUUAACCAAGUUCUUUUCUUCAAUUGGCUCUGCACACUUCUGUGCUUGGGCCCUGAACUUAUCCACGUAAUCUAACAGCUCCCCGUUUGGCUUCUGCUUGAAUCGCAUGAGCUCUACGAUGGUUACCUAUUUUUGCACAUAGAAAAAUUUCUUAAAAAAUUGCAAUUUUAGGUCAUCCCAAUCAUGGACUGAUCCCUUCUCCAAAUUGUAGUACCAAUUAAAGGCACUAUCGUCAAAGUCUUGUUGAAUUGCCUCAUCAACAAGUUGUGGUUGUUUACUUCAUUAUAUCCUAGCCACGGAGACAUCGACUCUACGAACCUGGAAAUGUGUUCCCUGGCAUUUCCUUUCUCCCCGUUGUAUUUUUGAAACUGCGGGGGGAUGCUCAAUAUACCCCGUCGGAUAAGGUUGCCUUCGAAUGUGUGCAGGGUAAGGUGGAGUAAAAUCUAACUCCGAGGGUCGGGAUGUCUGCCUGCGAAGUUGAUUGAUCACAUCGAUCAUAUCAUCCUUCGUACGUACUGGCUUGUGGCGUGAACUCUCUAGGGUGUUGUAAUAUACUGCUGUAUUGGCGGUGUGUAUGGAGAAGAGAUUGGUUGAUGUACACUUGCAUGGUACAAAGCUGGCAUUGGUGGCAUUUGCUGGCUCACUCGCUGGACAUGGCUUGGGACUGUUGGCAUCUGCACCUGUGAAAAUGCUGGAAGAGCAGUUGGGAUGAUGUUCGUCUGAGGUUGGCUUGCUUCCAACCUAGGUUGUGGCCCGUCACCACUGUUCUGGAGCUCCAAGUUGAUUACUGGAACCGAUUGACUUUCAGUCAAUGGAGGUACAAUUUGGUUCUCUUUGUUGUUGCUGCCAUUGUUGUUGUCCUCCACUCCUGUUUGUUCUCCCUGCGAAUUACCUGGGAACAUGGCCUUGAAGGUAGGGAUCUGCAUCAAUUGCUGGCAGAAGUUCCCCAUCUCCUCUUGCUUCCUCUGCAUCUCCAGCAUCAUGGCCAUCAUCAUCCCUUGUCCUUCCCGUGCUUCCUUUAAUGCCUUGAGCAUCUCCAGUUGCACAACAUUCGUCUGCUCUUCGCUUGCAUCCUUGACUUGCCUUCCUGCGUUGGUUUGUUGUUGAUUGGCCAUGUAUAGUGAUGUUGAACUCCCUUCCGAAGCGUCUUCAAUAAGUGGUUGGUCAAAAUCCAGAUUUGCGCCUUGGAAAGCUUGAGUUGUUUGCCUUGGAACUGGAUUUGGUGAGGUAAUACUAUUUGUUGGUGAAGCAGCUCUUCCUGUAGUUCUCCCACUUUGAGUUGUGGGCAUACCCUUCACGAAUUCUACACCUCCCCAGCAGAGUCGCCAAAGAAAUGUGGGCAAGGAAAUCGUACCUUGCUAGGGUUAGGGUUUCGUGUUGGCUGAGGAGGAGAGAAAUCCACGAAAAAUACGGAAUUGAUUGAUUGAUUGAAAAGGGGAGAAGAAUAGGUAAGCGAUAACUCCAACGACACGUGGCAGAACUCUUAGAAUCCGAGAACCUUGUUAAGGUAGCAUGGAUUCAGAGAGCCUUCUUGAGUCUUUGGGUUGAGAGAGAAUCUCCAAGUCUCCUAGUCUUCCAAAAGGUCCAAGUCCUGAGUCUGAAGAGAAGUCCAAAAUGAGGUCCCCUUCCUAAUGGAGUGGAAGGGGUAUUUAUAGGAUUUUAUGGAGAGUGGUCAUGUGCUAGGCACAUGAUCUCAGGAAAAUUCCAAAUUUACCCUUAGUUAUCAGAGUAAUGCCCAGAUCGUCUUGACCUUCUAGCUACCAAUCCAAUCCCUCAAUCAAUUCCCAAAAUGAGUCGCCUCCACGUGUUUUUUGCCUCGGGACACGUGAAAGAUUCUCUCAGAUCUUGCUUCUUUUAUUUUUGGCUCUUCCGUCUUUUUAUUUAAUUAUAAUGUGAACAUUAAUUUGUGCAUUUAAUUCACUUAGGUCAAAUAAACCCUAAUUUGCACUUGGGCCCACAAAUAUGAUAUUAUUAAAUAUAAUAUGAUAAUGUUUAAGAAAUUAAAUUAGUAUUUACUUAGUUUCUCAAUACUAAAUAAAAUAAUAAAAAUAAAAUAAAUAAUAUAAUGCUUAUAUAAACAUAUCUUUGAGUACAUAUACAUAUAUUUGAGUAUAUAAAUAUAUCUUCGAGUAUUUUAUAUAAACGUCUUGGAUGAUAUUAUAUUCUUUGAACAAAUAGAGUUCGACUUCUCAUGAACUAUAGAUUCAACAUCAGCACAUAAAGUUUUCCCCCAGUACUCCUUGAGAAGUGUAAUUAAGUUGGUUUGUCCCACCUCUCCGUGAAAUUGGGAAACAUCCUCGGUUGAAAAGCAUUAAGCUUUUCAGCUAGUGCUCAUGUUUUUGCAAAAUCAACUGUCAUAGAGUGAAAGGUUGUUAAUAAAGACAUUUUUUUACUCAUAUCUUUAUCUAACUCAAGGUCUACAUGUACCAAAUGUGCAGUAGAGAUUUUACCCAAUGUAUCAUUGAUCAGAUAAUCAAUAAAGAACUUUUGAAUUUUUUACAAAAUUAAUAAAUUACUGGGAAACAUGAGAAACAAGGAAGAGUUUUGACAACAUAAAUAUCUUAGAGUAUUAUCAACAUAAAUAGUAUAAUUUAGCUUUAAAUUACCUCUAAGGACACAUCAUGAUCCAUCAAGCGUGGUGUUCGCCCAGUGUAGUCCAUGGGGNNNNNNNNNNNNNNNNNNNNNNNNNNNNNNNNNNNNNNNNNNNNNNNNNNNNNNNNNNNNNNNNNNNNNNNNNNNNNNNNNNNNNNNNNNNNNNNNNNNNNNNNNNNNNNNNNNNNNNNNNNNNNNNNNNNNNNNNNNNNNNNNNNNNNNNNNNNNNNNNNNNNNNNNNNNNNNNNNNNNNNNNNNNNNNNNNNNNNNNNNNNNNNNNNNNNNNNNNNNNNNNNNNNNNNNNNNNNNNNNNNNNNNNNNNNNNNNNNNNNNNNNNNNNNNNNNNNNNNNNNNNNNNNNNNNNNNNNNNNNNNNNNNNNNNNNNNNNNNNNNNNNNNNNNNNNNNNNNNNNNNNNNNNNNNNNNNNNNNNNNNNNNNNNNNNNNNNNNNNNNNNNNNNNNNNNNNNNNNNNNNNNNNAAAGUUGUUAGUGCAUUGUAAGUAAACUAAGGAAGUAACAACCCAAUAGAUACAGAGGAAGAGAGGGCCACGACUAGGAACUGGAAGGGAGUGAAGCAUACAAAUUUCCACCAUUCUUCCGAGAUUAGAAUUUGACAUCUUAUCCCUUAUAUUGAGUUGUAUAUUCUUUUCAUUAUGGUUCGAACAUGUAUGGUUGGGGAUGUAUUGUUGUUUGUGUUGUGUUGCGGACCAGUAAGGGUCCGGGAAUUAUAAGGGGGAUUAUAUGAAGGAGUUGUGUUAAUUGUGUGACGAUCGAGACUUUUGUAAUUAAUUUUUAAAUAUUUAUUAAAUUAAAUAAAUAUUCUGUUUAUUUAUUUAUUGAGUUAAAUAAUCAUUUGAUGGAAUUGUGGUAGAUUAAUUUAAUUAAGUGUGUCACAUUGAUUAAAUUAAUGUGGAAUAAUUUUAUUGAUCAAAGUGAGCAUUUAAUUGAGAUAAUUAAAUUAAAUGAGUUGUCAAAUAAUUUUAAUGUUGUUCUAACUAAUUAAAUAAUUAAUUACGGAUUUAUUAAGAAUGUAAAUUAUGUGUUAUAUAUAUUUAAUAAAUGAGAAUUUUAAUUAUGUGGUAAUUUGAUUUAAUGAAUAAUAUUGGCUUUAAAUUAAUUGAUCAAUUUAAAUAAUGUAAUUUGAUUAAUUAAGGUGUGACAAAUAAACUAUAUAAUAAAUGAGUUAAUUAACAUAAAAGAAAAAGAGCCUUUUUAAAGGUUAGCCAAACAUGGCCUUGUGAACAUGAGAGCAGUUAAAUGCGAAUUGGUCUUAACUGACACCCAUGUUGUGCCAGUUAUUAUAUAUUACGUAUAAUAAGUUUAUAUCAUAUAUUUGUUUAGUCUGAGAAUACACUACAGAGAGAAUAAAGAGAAAAAUUGAGAGAAUUGUGAGAUUGAAGAAGAAGAAGAAGAAAAAGAAGAAAAAGAAGAAGUUGGAGAAUUUAAGGAGUUGCUAUCAUCUCCUACUAAUCUAAACAAACAAUCAAGGGUAAUCUCUUAUAUUCAAGCUUUAAUUUACGUUCUUGAGCUUUCUCCAUGAAAGUUUAUUUUAGUUCUUUGUAAAUUGAAUUUGAUGGCCAAUUUGUUAAGAAAUUGGUUAUAUAUAUUUAUUAGCAUGCAUAAUCCAAUUAUAUAUGAUUUGUAUGUGAUUUAGAGUAAUCAAAUCCAUGAAAUAGUGGUUAAAUUAGAGUUUUGUAGUUUACAGAGAAAUACAUAUGAAUAUGGCUUAAAAGUACAAAAAUUCAUGCUUCAAUUACAUAUUAAUCGGCAAAUUGAUGAAUGAUUAUGUUUAUAUAUGUAAAAAACGAGAAGAACGAAACUUGUAUGGACUAAUUUGGUUGAAAAACGAGUUUGCAGUAGUUGAUUUUGUUAAGAAUGUUAAAAAUAAAGUUUUUCAUAAGAACAUCAAAAUUAUUGCUUUAAAUCUUGUUGUUUAUGUGACUUAAGUUAUUAAAAGCAUGCUAAGAAUGUUAUAGAAUAUUUCUAUUAAGUUCAGAACAUGUGGGUGAAAUUGUUUUCGUUGUUUGUGUGAAAUUUUGGCCUAAAUUGGUCAUGUUCUGUGUUUUUCGCGAACUGCAGAAACUGAAUCUAGGCUGGCGGGCAAAAAAAUUAUUAAAAAAUUAAUAAAUAAAUAAAUAAAUAAAAUAAUUAUCAAAUAAAAUGAAUAUUUUAGUUGAAAUAUUUAUGGAAUAAAAUAAAUAUUCAAUGAAAAUAAUUAUCAAAUAAAAUGAAUAUUUUAGUUGAAAUAUUUAUGGAAUAAAAUAAAUAUUUGAUGGAAAUUAUUAUUAAAAUAUUUAUCAAGUAAAAUGAAUAUUUUAGUUGAAAUAUUUAUGGAAUAAAAUAAAUAUUUGAUGGAAAUUAUUAUUAAAAUAUUUAUCAAGUAAAAUGAAUAUUUUAGUUGAAAUAUUUGUGGAAUAAAAUAAAUAUUCAAUGAAAAUUAUUAUGGAAUAAUUUAUUUGAGUGUAAUAAUAGUGAGGGAAUGAAAAUAUUCUAAUUUAAUUAAGUAAUUAAAUUAGAAGGGUAAUGAUUUGUUAAAUAAAGAGGAGUUUAUAUUAAAUAAUUAAGUGAAAGUGUGACUAAUGGACAAUAUAAUAAGAGAAUUAUAAAAAUAAAUUAGAAAAGGUCUUGUGACCUUAUAACUGCUAUGUUUUGUAACUGGUAAAAUCACGUUAAAAAAAAUGAUGUCCAUGAGAUGAUAUGAUGUUGUUUAAACUUAAGAUUUGAGAUUUCAGUCCUGUAUAUGUGAAUGAUGGUGAUGAGCAGAAUUUAAACCAAAUUAACGAGUUAUAUUAAAAGAGGGAACUAAACCUAUAAGGUUAAUAUUAAUGUAACUAAUGAAUGUCGUGAAUACAUAUGGUAUGUGUGUAGGACUUGCAGUGAACGUGAGUAAUAAUCGUUUAGCCUACGCACGAGGAAAGUUUCCAAAUCCUAUUCUUACAUUGAACAAGUUCUUAAAUCUUAUUAUUAUUGAGCAAGCUUCGUAUUCUUAUUUUGAACUGUUCAAAGCUUAAUAUUCAAGUCUAUGAUUCCAAAUGAAAUGUUCUAAUUCUUUUAAAGUAUUACUUCUAUUGUACAAAGUUCAUUCAAUUGUGUAGAAUUGAGAUCCAAUCUUUUCAGUCAAUAUAAAGUUGAGAUUCAAUCUUUGAUUUGAUUAUUGAUUUCGAUAUUACAUUGAAACCUUGAAUAGAUAGUGAUUCCUUAUUGAUUCAACUAAUCCUUAGUUGAUAAUUAUUGAACUCUAAAUUACUCUUGAGAUCAAUCCAAACCAAACUUCCUUUUGUGUGGACUCUAAUGUCAAAGCUGAGAUGAACAACCCUUCUACAGGGGAUUAUAUUACGCGAUAGCGUUAAGAUGUUGUGCACAUACAUGGUAUAUAGGGCUGAUCCCCCUAAGUACGAGAAGUUAGGUUCAUAUAGUCUUACGACUGUUAAAGGUUUAAAGUAGAAAUACGUGAUAACCUGGGACAUAGUUCAUGGUCUUAUGACCCUCCGAUGUAUUUUUGAUUCCUGUUCUAAUCUUGAUUUAAAAGCCGAGACUUCUUUUGGUUCAGUAUCCAUUGUUUAUUAGUAUGUUAUUAUUAUUAUUCUAUUGUUAAACUUAUGGGCAAUUGUUGCUCACUCUUGCAUAAUAACAUUGCAGCUAAGAUUGAAAGAGUUGAUGAGCCAUCUACAAGUAAGGGCAAGGGAAAAACAAGCAAAUGAUGAAGACUUAUUUAAUAUUCAAGAAUGUUUAUAUUAAGACUUAUAAUGUGAUGUUUAAGACUUAUUUUUUUAUGAUGUUUUCGUAUAUGAUGUAUUAAGGUUAGAUAACCCAGGAUUUAUUCAUUUAAGAUGUUGUAACCCUGUAUUGGGAGGAUUUCUAUUUCAAUUUUAUUGUUAUCAUUAUUAUGGGUAGUUAGAUGUUAAUUAUUUUGUUGAGUGAACACCAAAUCUAAGAGAAUUUUGAGUACCUAGAUUUGGGGGUGUCACAGGUUGGUAUCAAAGUUGUAGGUUAUGAACCAUAGGUGGGGGAAAAACUUUAGGUAGUAGCCUUAUAGGAGAUUGAGAACAUAGUGGUGAUAAACUCUUAUCGAGUUCUAAGAAAUGAAUUCCUUAAAAGACUUUAUGUGCUUAUGUGAUAUACUUAUGUGCUCACGAGUAUUGAUUAGUAACUAAAACUUAAAACUUUGUUGUCAGGAUGUCUGAUGUUUGAGGAUCUAGUUGGGCUGGGGAGGAGGAACCCCGAGUACCUAGAGUGGAGGAGCCCCGAGACAUUCAUGUUGUCCGGGAGCAGUUGCUACAGAGAGCCAUCUCCAUUGAGUUGUGGGUCAGGAGCAUGAGCCUGAGACUGACCCUGAGGAGGAAAAGGAGGAAGUUGAGUUCCCACCGAACUCUAUUGCAGCUCAGAUGUAUGACGAGGUGUAUAACCGUAACAUUGAGCUUCAGAAUAGAGUCAGAGAAUUUGAGGAGCUGGCAAAUAGACGUCAGAACACUAUAAGUCAGAAGAAUGAGGAAAUCCAAGGUCUUGAUGCACGUCUUGGAAAUGUGGAGUAGAAAUUAGUUCACUUAAAGGGUGACAAUGAGCAAUUGACGACAGAAGUUGCAAAGCUGAAGGAUGAUCUGAGAGUGAAAUCCGUCAAGCGAGCCAGAGAUGGAGAUGCUUACGAGCAGGCUUCUCAGCGAGCAGAUGUAGCCGAAGAAGAGGUGCAAGCAAAUAAGGUCAAGAUGGUGGAGAUGGAUUGUGCAUUCAACACUGCGGUGAACAAAGCUCAUGAUCAAGUUAUGUACUAUCCAAUUCAGUUCGAGGACUUACCUUAGUACAUGCUGGAUCGUAGGACGAUAAUUCGUAUUAUGGAAGAAGAGCACAUAAAAGCUAUUCGACGUCUUAAUAGGUCCUGAUAGGAACAAUAUGAAUUAUGUGAAUAUCUAUGUUAGUUAAUGAUGUAAAUUCCAGUAUGAAUAUAAGUAAUGAAAUAUGAUGAUUUAAUCUUGAAGAUUCUUUAUCUCGGGAUAGUUGAUGUAAAUAGCAGUGAUCUUAUCUCUCUAUGUUUUAAAAGUUAUUAAUGAAUAAAAUAUCAAUGUUUAUUCAAGAUGUUAAAAUGUUUAAGUUAAGUCUUAAAUACUUAAGAGAUUGAGUAAUGAUCUAAUAAACGUAUAUCUUAAACAGAAAAUGCCGCCAAGAAGACGCCCAACACGUCAACAAGCUCAGGAAGGAUCCACGAACAUUAACAGCAACAACAACGAUAAUGCCAACACAUAUCCUAUUGAUCAGCAGUUGGUAAACCUAUUAAUGGGAGCACUUGCGAAUCAAUCGCAAGCUCAAGCUACCCUAUUCAAGGAUUUUAAAGCAGUAGGGCCGCCAGAAUUUAGGGGAUCCAUGAAUUCGGUCGAAGCUCAGACCUGGAUUAUGGAGAUGGAGAAGGUAUUUGACGUUGCUAGAGUCAACGAUGAUCAGAAGACGGCCUUUGCAACGUUUAUGCUGAAAUCAGAGGCUAGUUACUGGUGGCAGGCAAACAAGGAUAGAGGAGGACAAGGUGUGAUCGCAUAGGAUAGGUUUAAAGAGAUGUUCUUUGAGAUGUACUUCCCAACGAGCUCUCAAAACCAGAUGGAGCUUCAUUUUCUAGAAUUGAAGCAGGGAAACAUGACGGUGCUAGAAUAUGCCGCGAAAUUCAACGAGUUGGCUAGGUUCGCAACUUAUCAAGUGAAUACGGAUGAGAGGAAAGCUAGGAGUUUUGAACAAGGAUUGAAGCCGUGAUUGUAUAGAAAGGUGUUAAUGUUUCAAUUGAACACUUUUGCGGUAGUAUUGGAGAAGACAAUUAUUUCAGAAGGUGGAAGCGAUGUUCUGACCAGGUAUAAUCAGGAGCAGAAGAAGAAGAAUGAAAGUGAGAAUAACAAAGCUAGUGGCAGUAGCAGUAGUGGCGGUCAUAGUCAGAAGAGGAAGUGGAAUGAUAAUAUGUCUACAGGGAAUCAACAAGGAAGUCAGAAGAAGAAGGUGGAGGCUUGUCUUACCUGCGGGAAGAGUCACCUAGGGGUAUACAUGAAGGGAAAAAGGGUUUGCUACAAUUGUGGUAAAGAAGGCCAUAUAGCGCUAAAUUUCCCUAACCCUAUAAAGGGGGCUUGUUUUACUUGCAGGUCGAGGGAUUAUUUGGCAAGGGAUUGUCCCAAGAAGGCAGCAGGAGGAGCAGGAAUGGGUGGAAAUAAGGGAAACAGCGGUGGUAGCACUCUGACUAUCACUGGACCGACGCCGCCAAACUGACCCACCGCCAAAAAUUUCAAUAUAACCGUGCAGGAUGUUGUGUAGUCCCGAGAUAUGGUGUUAGGUAUCAUUCCGAUCAAUAAUGUUAAUGCCUACGUAUUAUUUGAUUCGGGUGCUACUUGUUCAUUUAUAUCCGACGAUUUUGCUAAGAAUUUGAAUUUUCCUAAAGAGGAAUUAGAAUAUCCUUUGAACAUAGAGAUUGUGAAUAGGGAAGUAAUUCCUGUUAGGUUUGUACAUAAGAACUGUAGGGUGGACAUUAAGGGUCACAAAAUGAUGGUAGAUCUAAUCCCGAUUAAACUUGGGGAAUUUGAUAUCAUUCUGGGAAUGGAUUGAUUAUUCAAUUAUGGGGCAAUAAUGAUUGCCAAAGAAAGUGUGUAAACCUUAUGACUUCGUCAAAGGUUGUAUUUUAUAGAAAUAAGUCGCCUAGACAAGCGAGUUUUCUGACAAUGAUGUAGGCCAAAAAGUUGUUGAGACAAGGAUGUGUAGGAUAUUUAGCCUAUAUAGUCGAUACUCGAAAGGAGAAUCCAAAAUUAGAGGAGAUACUAGUUGUUAGAGACUUUGGAGACGUAUUUCCAUAUGACUUGCCAGGACUUCUGCCAGACAGGGAAGAAGAAUUUGUGAUCGACUUAGUGCCAGGAACUGCCCCAAUAUCGAAGGGCCCGUAUCGUAUGGCUGUAGUGGAGAUGAAAGAAUUGAUGGUGCAACUACAAGAACUGUUAGAAAAGAAAUAUAUUUAACCGAGCGUUUCACCGUGAGGAGAACCGGUAUUGUUUAUCAAAAAGAAGGAUGGGUCGAUGCAACUUUGCAUUGAUUAUAGAGAAUUAAACAAGGUCACAAUUAAGAAUAAGUAUCCAUAUUACCAAGGAUUGACGACCUGUUUGACCAGUUAAAAGGAGCUUGGCAUUUCUCAAAGAUAAACUUGAGAAGUAAGUACCAUCAGUUGAAGGUGAGGAAAGAAGAUGUACCGAAGACAGCGUUCAAAACUCGUUAUGGUCAUUACGAGUUCCUGGUGAUGUCAUUUGGUCUAAAGAAUGCUCGUGCAGCGUUUAUGGACCUAAUAAACAGGGUGUUUAAACCAUUUUUGGAUAAAUUCAUGGUAGUGUUCAUCAACGAUAUUCUGGUAUAUUCUAAGACCAAGGAGGAGCAUGUCGAACAUUUGAAGGUGACAUUGGAGGCAUUGAGAAGAGAGAAGCUGUACGCUAAGUUUUCGAAAUGUGAAUUCUGGAUAGAGCGCGUGCAAUUUCUUGAGCAUGUGAUUGACAAGGACAGGAUUUCGGUAGAUCCAUCGAAAGUUGAAGCUGUGAUGAACUGGGAUCAGCCGAAGACACCGUCGAAAGUAAGGAGUUUUUUAGGACUGGUAGGUUAUUACAUAAGAUUUAUUCAAGAUUUUUCCAAAAUUACGACUCCGCUUAUGAAUUUGACUAGAAAAUCGAUAAAGUUAGUUUGGACGGAAAAGUGUAAGGAAAGUUUCCAAGAACAGAAGAAAAGGUUAAGUACGGCACCUGUGUUAUCCCUUCCCGAUAGCACAGGAAAUUUUAUGGUGUAUAGUGAUGCAUCGCAUAAGGGGCUAGGCUGUGUGCUUAUGCAGAACGACAAGGUCAUUGCGUAUGCAUCACACCAACUGAAGGAUUAUGAGAAGGUGUAUCCUACACAUGAUUUAGAACUGGUUGCAGUGGUGUUUGCUUUGAAGAUAUGGAGGCAUUAUCUCUACGGGGAGAAGUGUGAAAUAUAUACCGACCAGAAGAGUCUGAAAUAUAUUUUUACACAAAAGGAUUUGAACAUACGUCAGAGGAGAUGGUUGGAGUUAAUAAAGGAUUAUGAGUGUGAGAUUUUAUACAAUCCGGGUAAUGUGAAUGUAGUUGCCGAUGCCUUAAGCAGAAAGGGUAGAGAGAAACUGUUUAUGUUAAUCGCUCAGGAGGAGCUAAUUUCAGCAAUGGCAAAACUAGAGCUGGAAGUAAAAUAUCCAAAGGAAUCGAACGAAAAACUAUUUCAAACGGAAACUGGUCCAACUUUGGUGGAUAAGGUUAUAGAAGCACAACUCAAAGAUGAGGAAUGUGAGAAAAUCAAGAAAAGAAUAUCUGAAGGAGAGGAAGGGAAAUUCAAAAUUGACAACGAAGGGAUAUUGAAAUUCGAGAAAAGAAUUUGGGUUCCACAAGUAUCAGAGGUAAAAGAGAAAAUUUUGAGCGAGGCUCAUAGUUCACGGUAUUCGAUUCACCCGGGGAGUACGAAGAUGUAUCAGGAUCUCCGACAGCAUUUCUGGUGGCCAAAUAUGAAGAAAGACGUUUCUGAUUGUGUAGCCAAGUGUUUGACAUGUCAGAAAGUUAAAGCAGAACAUCAGAGACCAAGUGAGUUGUUACAACCGUUAGACAAACCAGAAUGGAAGUGGGAACAUAUCACGAUGGAUUUUGUGGUAUGGCUUCCAAUGACUCAGAAAGGUUUCGAUGCAGUUUGGGUUAUUGUGGACCGCGUAACGAAAUCAGCACAUUUCUUACCCAUCAAGAUCAGGUUUCACUUGGAUCAGUUGGCGAAAUUGUAUGUAAAGGAAAUUAUUUUAAGGCACGGUGUUCCAAUGUCUUUAGUCUAGGAUCGAGAUCCACGUUUCACAUCGAACUUCUGGAAGUGACUACAGGAAUGCAUGGGAACGUAAUUGAGAAUGGGUACGGCAUACCAUCCUCAAAUAGAUGGCCAGAGCAAAAGGACAAUACAGACAUUGGAGAAUAUGUUAAGAGCUUUUAUAAUGGACUUCAAAGGAAAUUGGGAUGAUCAUCUACCGCUAGUGGAAGUCGCUUACAAUAAUAGUUACCACGCAAGUAUUGGCAUGCCGCCUUACGAAGCGUUGUACGAUAAAAAGUACAAAACUCCAUUAUGUUGGGAUGAAGUUGGUGAACGUCAACUAAUAGGACCAGAAUUGGUGCAACAGACCGAUGAGAUUGUCAAGGUGAUUAGGACACGAUUGAUAGUUGCUCAAGACAGACAGAAGAAAUAUGUUGAUCAACACCGACAGAAUUGAGAAUUUGAAUCUGGUAGCUACAUUUUCUUGAAAGUGUCUCCCUGGAAGGGUAAGAUCCGAUUUGGUAAGAAGGGAAAAUUGAGCCCGACGUUCAUUUGACACUUUGAAGUUUUGAGGAAAAUUGAUGAAGUUGCGUAUGAGGUAGCCUUACCUCCGGCCUUAGAACAUGUCCAUAAUGUUUUCCAUGUUUCUGUCUUAUGACCGUAUAAGCCCGAUUACAAGCACGUUAUCGAAUAUGAACCCCUACAAUUUGAGAAAGAUUUAUCUUAUGAAGAAGUUCCUAUUCAGAUAGUCGAAGGGAAAGAACAAGUACUCAGAAAUAAAGUAAUACAUUCUAUUAAGAUAAUCUGGAGGAACCACAACGCUGAAGAAGCUACGUGGGAACUCGAAGAACAAAUGAUAAAAAAGUAUCCUCAUUUAUUUGCUUAAUCUGUGUGUAGCGAUUCUAGGGGCAGAAUCUUUGUAAGGAGGGAGAAUGUAAUGGGACUAACUAAGUGAAUUGUGAUUCUGGGGACAUAAUCCUUUUAAGAGGGGAAAGAUGUGACGAACGAGACUUUUGUAAUUAAUUUUUAAAUAUUUAUUAAAUUAAAUAAAUAUUUUGUUUAUUUAUUUAUUGAGUUAAAUAAUCAUUUGAUGGAAUUGUGGUAGAUUAAUUUAAUUAAGUGUGUCACAUUGAUUAAAUUAAUGUGGAAUAAUUUUAUUGAUCAAAGUGAGAAUUUAAUUGAGAUAAUUAAAUUAAAUGAGUUGUCAAAUAAUUUUAAUGUUGUUCUAAUUAAUUAAAUAAUUAAUUAGGAAUUUAUUCAAAAUAUAAAUUGUAAGACCCCAAAUUUUUAUAAAUAAAAAUCGAAUUUCCUCUAAUUAUUAUUCUUGAUUAAUAAGGUGGUAAUUUGAUAUAAUGCUUUGGUUAUGGGUGAAAUAUGCAAAGUUUACAAAAUAAGCAAGUGGUUAUAAAAUAUUCAUUNNNNNNNNNNNNNNNNNNNNNNNNNNNNNNNNNNNNNNNNNNNNNNNNNNNNNNNNNNNNNNNNNNNNNNNNNNNNNNNNNNNNNNNNNNNNNNNNNNNNNNNNNNNNNNNNNNNNNNNNNNNNNNNNNNNNNNNNNNNNNNNNNNNNNNNNNNNNNNNNNNNNNNNNNNNNNNNNNNNNNNNNNNNNNNNNNNNNNNNNNNNNNNNNNNNNNNNNNNNNNNNNNNNNNNNNNNNNNNNNNNNNNNNNNNNNNNNNNNNNNNNNNNNNNNNNNNNNNNNNNNNNNNNNNNNNNNNNNNNNNNNNNNNNNNNNNNNNNNNNNNNNNNNNNNNNNNNNNNNNNNNNNNNNNNNNNNNNNNNNNNNNNNNNNUGGAUAAAGCAGAUCAACAAGAUAUUUGAUGUCUUGGGAUGCUCCGAGGAGCAAAAGGUUCCCUUUGCCACCUUCAUGUUGCGAGCAGAGGCAGAUUACUGGUGGGAAUCUGUAAAGCGUACUCAAUCUGCCGCACUCAAAAUGUCUUGGGAGAAGUUCCAAGAACUGUUCAACGACAAGUACUUUCCUGAAAGUAUUUGUCACAUGAAGGAGGUAGAGUUCAUCAAGCUUGAGCAAAACAAUAUGACCGUGAUGCAGUAUGAAGCUAAGUUUGUCGAGUUGUCUCGGUUUGCGUCCCUCUUAGUUGAUAAUGAGGAGAGAAUGACGCGGAUGUUUCUAAGAGGUUUGAAACCCGAGAUACGUCAAUACCUAAAUUCUCACAAAUUGUGUUUGUAUUCAGAUGUUGUGAAUAGGGCUCAGUUAUUGGAGCGCGAUAAUGAGUCAACCCAACCAAGAGAGAGCAAUCGACAAGUCGAUAACACCAGCAGUAGUUGUCAUCAAAGUGGUGACAACAAGCGUGGAGGGAAUCAACAUGUCUGAAAUGGUAAUCACUUCGGUGGUAAUCAUGGCCAUGACAAUAAGAGUGGACAUUUAAAGAAGAGGAGAUUCAAUAAUGAUGGAAAGACGUCAGCACCAGCACCUGUUGUUAAGGAAGGAAAACGACCGCCGGUCGUAUGUUACAAAUGUGGAGGGGAAGGACACAUCAGUCCAAACUACGCGAUGCAGUCCAAAGCGUGUUACAAUUAUGGAAAAGCGUUUGUCGUAACCUCCCAAAAAGCGAGGAAUCUGAACGAGGUGAUCACGGGUAAGCUAAUUAUAAACUCUAGUGAAGUUUAUACUUUAUUUGAUACCGGUACUACCCAUUCUUUUAUUUCUCCUACUUGUGCUCAACGUUUAAAUUUGACUUCGGAGAAAUUAGACUUUGACUUAUCUGUUGAAACUCCGUUGGGAGAAACCUUCAUUACAUCCACUGUUUAUAAGUCUUGUUUGAUUUAAAUCGGUAACCGCACAUUACCUGUCGAUCUUAUUUCUUUGAAAAUACUUGCAUUUGAUGUGAUUUUAGGGAUUGAUUGGUUAACUACUCAUCAUGAUAAAAUCGAUUGUUUUCGUAAGGUUGUUAGCUUUCAUAUUCCUAACCAACCUAUUAUGUGAAUUUAAACAACCAAACCACUAAAAUCAAUCACUGUCAUAUCAAGCCAUAAAGUUAUUCGUUUAUUGAAAAACGGAUGUCAAGCUUUCUUAGCCAAUGUCACGGAUUUAAAUAAAAAUACGUCAGAUUUGAAUGAUAUUUCUAUUGUUAAUAAAUUUCUUAACGUAUUCCCUGAAAAACUUCCUGGCAUACCCCUAGAGCGUGAAAUUGAAUUUUCUAUCAACCUUGAAUCCGGUACAAAACCCAUUUCCAAAGCCCCAUAUCGAAUGGCUCCUAUUGAACUUCAGGAGUUAAAAACCCAACUACAGGAAUUGUUAGACAUCAGUUUCAUUCGUCCUAGUACGUCUCCUUGGGGUGCUCCUGUUUUAUUCGUGAAGAAGAAAGAUGGAAGUUUGAGACUUUGUAUUGAUUAUCGGGAGUUGAAUAAUGUCACCAUCAAAAAUAGGUACCCGUUGCCUCGCAUUGAUUACCUGUUUGACCAGUUGUAAGGAGCCAAAUUCAUUUCAAAGAUUGAUCUUCGUUCCAUAUAUCAUCAGUUGAAGAUUAAAACUGAUGACAUUCCAAAGACUGCUUCCAGAACUCGGUACGGGCAUUAUGAAUUCCUAGUCAUGUCUUUUAGAUUGACUAAUGCUCCUGCUGCCUUCAUGGACAUGAUGAACCGAAUAUUCAAGGAAUAUUUGGAUCACUUUGUGGUCGUCUUUAUUGAUGACAUCCUCAUAUACUCCAAAACCCGUGAAGACCAUGAGCAACACUUGAGGCUGAUACUCCAAAAGCUUCGUGAAAAAAAGCUAUAUGCCAAGUUGAAGAAAUGCGAGUUCUGGCUUGAGGAAGUUUCAUUCCUUAGGCACGUAAUAUCAAAUCAUGGAAUAUCUGUUGACUCGGCAAAGAUUGAAGCAAUUCAAAGCUGGGAGCAAUCUAAGUCAGUGAUCGAAGUACGUAGCUUUCUCGGCUUAGCUGGUUAUUAUCGGAGAUUCGUAGAAGGGUUUUCUCGAAUCGCUACUCCAUUAACUCAGCUGACUCAAAAAGAUACAAAAUUUGGUUGGAGCGAGGAAUGUGAAAAGUGUUUUCAAGAACUCAAGAGAAGACUCAUUUUAGCACCUGUUCUAACAAUACCAUCUGGCUUGGAGAGAUUUGUCAUCUACAGUGAUGCUUCAGGCAAAGGGUUAGGAUGUGUUCUUAUGCAACAUGGGAAAGUCAUAGCCUAUGCCUCACAACAACUCAAAGAAUAUGAGAGGAAUUAUGCUACUCAUGAUCUAGAGUUGGCAACAGUCAUUUUUGCGCUUAAAAUUUGGAGGCAUUACCUUUAUGGAGAAAAGGUGGAGAUCUAUACGGAUUAUGAAAGCCUCAAAUAUUUCUUCACUUAAAAGGAACUCAACAUGCGACAACGACGAUGGCUUAAGUUGUUGAAAGAUUAUGAUCAUACCAUCCAAUACCAUCCUGGAAAAGCGAACGUAGUAGCUGACGCAUUGAGUAGAAGAUCAUAUGCGGGUACGAGUGCAAUAUUCUCAAUGCAAAUACCCAUUUUGUAUGACUUGGAAAGGAUGGAAAUAGAGUUAAAGACUCCAGGGACCCAUGUGAUGAUGGCGAAUAUACGAGUAGAACUGACUUUAAUUGAUAAAGUUAAAGCUGCUCAACUUACGGACCUGGAGCUGAUGUGUAUGAGGAAGAAAGUACAAGAAGGUGCUAUUCCGGAAGCAAGAAUCGAUGAAGAAGGAAUACUUCGAGUCAACUCCAAACUUUGUGUUCCUAACGAUUCUGACUUGAAGUAUAAAAUCAUGAUGGAGACACACAACACACCGUUUGUAAUCCAUCCUGGGAGUACUAAAAUGUAUCGUGAUCUUCGACAUACAUUUUGGUAGAGCAAUUUGAAGAGAGAGAUAGUGGGGUUUAUCUCAAGGUGUCUAACUUGUCAAUGAGUCAAGGCGGAGCAUCAAGUGCCAAAAGGUCCAUUGCAACCACUUGAAAUUCCAGAAUGGAAGUGGGAGCACAUUACCAUGGAUUUCAUUACUGGUCUUCCCAAGGUUUCUCAAGGCAUAGAUGUGAUUUGGGUCAUUGUUGAUAGAUUGAACAAGUCUGCUCAUUUCUUACAAAUACGAGAAACUUAUACACUUGAACGUCUUGCUAGUAUGUAUAUAAACGAGAUUGUAAGAUUGCAUGGUAUGCUAGUAUCCAUAGUUUUUGAUCGAGACCCAAGAUUCACUUCAAGAUUUUGGGUUAGUUUGCAAAAAGCUAUGGGCACGGAUUUACGAUUUAGUUCGGCAUAUCAUCCUCAAAUGGAUGAGCAGUUGGAAAGGACUAUUCAAACUCUUGAAGAUUUAUUAAGACUCUAUGUCCUUGACUUCAAGGAAAGUUGGGACAAGUUCUUACAAUUGGUGGAGUUUUCCUACAAUAAUAGUUAUCAAGCAAGUAUUGGCAUGGCUCCAUUUGAGGCGUUGUAUAGAAGAAAGUGUCGUUCUCCAGUAUGCUGGGAUGAGGUGGGUGAAACAACAUUGUUGGGACCGGAUUUGGUACGUAUGACUACGAAAAAGAUUCAAACGAUCCGACAAUGUAUAAAAACCUCAUAAGAUCGACAAAAGAGUUAUGUUGAUCGUCAUCAAAAGGACGUGGAAUUCAAAAUUAGAGAUCAUGUGUUGUUACGUGUUUCUCCAUGGAAAGGAGUUAUGAGAUUUGGAAAGAGAAGAAAGCUCAAUCUUCGAUUCAUUGGCCCAUUUUUAAUCCUCGAUCGAGUAGAAACUGUGGCCUAUAGACUCGCCUUACCGCCAAGUAUGUCUCGUGUUCAUAAUGUUUUUCACAUAUCUAUGUUACGUAAAUAUGUGAAAGACCCAAACCACAUUAUUGAAUUAGAACUAGACAAGAUAGAGGAAGAUUUAACGUAUGAAGAGUUACCUGUUAAAAUCUUGGAUAAGAAGGAUCAUAUUCUACGCUCUAAAGUUAUACCUCAAGUCAAAGUUUUGUGGAGAAACCACGAUGUGGAAGAAAUGACCUGGGAGUUAGAAUCUGAGAUGAAGUCAAGAUAUCCUCACCUCUUCGAUAUACCAGGUACGUACCCUAAUUUCGAGGACGAAAUUUCAUAAGAAGGGGAGGUUGUAAGACCCCAACUUUUAUGAAUAAAGAAUAAUUUUCUCGAAAUAUAUUUUUGAAUAUUAUGGUGUGGAUUUGAUAUAAUGUUAUAGUUGUGGGUAAUAUUUACAAAUUUUGCAAAGUAAGCAAGUGGUUAUAUAAUAUUCGAUUGGUCGGGGAAUAUUCGUUUUAACAGGGAAUAUUCGUACGACGGCACAAUCAUUGGUGGACCCCACAACGGAAGUAUUGUCGUAGUUAGAAAACGACAGAAUUAUCUUUUUAUAAAAAUAACGGCGAAAGUGUUACCGUUAAAACUGUUGAACUACCCGGUAGUAAAAGUACAGUAAUACGCGUGGUUGCAUAGUAGCACACGGUAUUGAUUAUUGAUGCUUACGUGAGAAGUCACUCAGUUAUACUCAAUUAUUGCUACAGUAAUUGCUGCAUCAUAUCUCUCAUAUUAUUGAUUCAAUUAUUGUCACAGUAUCAUCUGCAUAAUAUGUUAUAUUAUUAAAUCAAUAAUUGAGACGACAAAGUUAUUCAUAUUAUUAUUUGCAAUAUUGACAAUGUCUAGAAGUUCUGUCAAGGAGAGGUUUGGUCACCUAAUUGCGCGCCAAUAAGGAGAAAUCCUUAUCGGAAAGCCCCCUCUUUCCUGGGAACGACCUGGUUGUUAAAUAUUGUGAGUUAUAAUAUUAAUGAUGAAUAAGUUCGUGUUGAUUAAAGAUGAAAUUGAUAGUUCCAUUGUGUUGGAAUUAUUAGUGUUAGUGGAAAUUGACAUUUAUUUUGAUAAUAAUUGAUGUCUAGAGGUUAUAUUGACCAAUCGAGUAAUUAAUCGGAUAAAUGUGGAAUUAAUUGCUAUUAAUUCACAUGAUUAUAACUAUAUUUGUUCACAUGUGUGUACUAUUGAUUCACAUUCUUGUACUAUUAGGGGAGGUGGUGCAAGACUGAUAAUACUUGCAUGACUAAGUUAAAAAUGGAGGUAUAGAUGGAGGUACUAUACUGUAAUUUGUAUUUUCACAUGUCUAGAACUAUUGAUUCACAUGAUUUACUAUUAGGGGAGGUGGUGCAAGUUUGAUAAUACUUGCAGGACUAAAUUAAAAAUAAAGGAAAAGAGGAAGAUAUUAUUCUGUAAUAUUUCGAGCACUAAAAUGUACAAUUAUCGAAACUAUAUUUUUUUAUAAAUAGAAGCUCAUUCUUCCUUCAUUUCGUACCAAUUCACUAAAGCUAUAGACCAAUUAUUAUAGAGAGAAACUAUAGAGAGAAAGAAGAAGAGAAGUCUGCUACCUCACUAUUCCAGUAUCCAGUUUUUUCUAAGGUAAGGGGUAUUAUUCUUUCGUAUUCAUGAAGAGAGUUAUUUUCUUUCAAUACUCGUAAGGGUUGUUAUUCUAUUCUUUAUUAUUAUGUUGGAAUAACAUGUCUAUCCGAAGUACCGCAUACAUGGUGAAAUUCUUCUAUUCUUCUAUUAUUUAUUAUUUUGUUGGAAUAACAUGUCUGUGCGGUCUAUAGCAUUCCUGGUGAAUUCUGUUGUUAUUCCAUUAUUUAUUAUUUAGUUGGAAUAAUCUGUCUGUGCAGUCUAUCGCAUGCAUGGUGAAUUCUGUUGUUAUUCCAUUAUUUAUUAUUCUGUUGGAAUAUCCUGUCUGUGCGGGUUACGCAUGACCUGGUUCCAUUCUUUAUUAUUUUUUUGGAAUGACCUGUCUAUGCGGAUUACGCACGCCUGGUGAAUUCUUCUAUUAUUCCAUUCUUUAUUAUUCUGUUACAAUAAACUAUCUAUGUGGAUUACCGCAUGCAUGGUAAAUGAUCUUUCGUAUUCAUUCCUUAUUAAAUUAUGGAAAUGAUCUAUCUACGUGGAUUACCGCAUGACGGGCAAAAAUCCAUUUGCGGUUUCAUAUAUUCUAUUAUACUCAGUUAGUUAAAGUUUUGGCUUCUAUACUCCAUGAAAUUAGUAGAAUAUCCUGGAUAUUUGCGCUUCAUCCAGUAUCUUUUCAUGAAAAUAUUCUUCUGAGCAUUCUUGAAUUUUACUCCACAAAGAAGUAUCAUGUUGACAAUUUGGACGUUAUUGAUUUUUGGAUAAAUUAAAAUUAUAAAUCUUUAAAAUUUAUCCUUGAACUUGUUUUAUUGAAUUAUUAUGUCAUUGUCAUCAUCCUCAUGCUUAUAUUGUGAUGAAAGUCAUCUUUGGCUUACGUGCAUAGAUGGACUUGGUAUGAUUAUGACCAGGGAUUAUUCGGUAUAAUCAUGACCGUAAUGUGACGAAUGAUGUGGUAAAAGUCCUCAUUGGCCUGUAGUUCAUUGAUGGACAGUUGUUGGUAUGAUUAUGACCAGGGAUUAUUCGGUAUAAUCAUGACCAUUGAUGAUUACAUGAAUAUCCUUGGUCGUGAUGCAGGGAUGAUUCAAUUUUAUUUAUUAAGCUGAGUCUCAGCGAUAAAGUUGAUGAAAAACUUUUUAAAUCAUAGAAGAUAGUAGAUUUUAUGCUCUAUUUGACUCUUAUAAUGGAUUGCUUGUUCCGCUGCAGUUAAACUUGAUGUCUAUUGUAUUUUAUACGUUUAACAUUGUUGAAGGCUAAUGAUAAUUUAUUUUUCAUUAUCUUAGUCAUAAUAUUUCUUACUGAGCUAGUUGAGCUCACCCUUUCUUUCACUGUUCUCUUCAAGAAAUGAGAACAUAGCCGGGACUAGUCGGGGAACGGAGUGACGGUCCAGACGAUAGCAUUAGUAGUCCUCAUUAUUCUGCUAAAUAGUGUGACAAUAAAUGUAAUGAAGACUCCAUUGAGUGUGGAUAUUGUCUAGAUGACAAUAUUCUUAUUAAAACUCUUAGAUUAUGUUUUGUCAUAUUUUAUACGACUGUUGUAUAAUUAAGUUGUAUUUGAAUAUUGUACCAUGUAUUUGGUGACUCAAGAUGGGUGAUGUAUACCGAUUUUGGGGGCGUCACAAAAGUCAUCUUUGGCUUACGUGCAUAGAUGGACUUGGUAUGAUUAUGACUAGGGAUUAUUCGGUAUAAUCAUGACCGUAAUGUAACGAAUGAUGUAGUAAAAGUCGUCAUUGGCCUGUAGUUCAUUGAUGGAUAGUUGUUGGUAUGAUUAUGACCAGGGAUUAUUCGGUAUAAUAAUGACCAUUGAUGAUUACAUGAAUAUCCUUGGCCGUGGUGCAGGGAUGAUUCGAUUUUAUUUAUUAAUUUGAGUCUCAGCGAUAAAGUUGAUGAAAAACUUUUUAAAUUAUAGAAGAUAGUAGAUUUUAUGCUUUACUUGACUCUUCUAAUGGAUUGCUUAUUCCGCCGCAGUUGUUGAUCUAAAACUUGUUGUUUAUUGUAUUUUAUCAGUUGUUAUACUGUUGAAGGCUAAGGAUACUUUAUUAUGCAUUAUCUUAGUCAUAAUAUUUCUUACUGGGCUAGUUGAGCUCACCCUUUUACUUUCAUUGUUCUCUUUAGGAAAUGAGAACGUAGCCGGGACUAGUCGGGGAAUGGAGUGAUGGUCCGAGAUGGUGUCAUAGUAGUCCUCACUAUUCUAUAAAAUAGUGUGACAAUAAAUGUAAUGAGGACUCCAUUGAGAGUGGAUAUUGUCUAGAAUGAAAUAUUCUUGUUUAAACUCUUAGAUUAUGUUUUGUCGUAUUUUACAUGACUGUUGUAUAAUUAAGUUGUAUUUGAAUUUUGUACCAUGUAUUUGGCGACUCAAUAUGGGUGAUGUAUACCUAUUUUGGGGGAGUCACAAACUACGACCCUUUUUUUUGCUGUCGAGGAACCAGUUGGAGUACUAUUAGCUACAACUGCUAAGUCAAACCCUGCAUACAAUAGGAAGCGUAUGCUUCUAAGACGAAGCGUAUGCUUCUAACCUGGGACUAACUACAGCACAGUUGGAAGCAUUCACUAUUGAAAUUUUUUAAUAGUGGUUUAAGAGAAGGGUUGAAGAAGAUAACGCUUCUGAACGUUUUAGAGAUGUUAUUUUAGGUCCGUACAAACUUGUUAGUUCAUUUCCAGGAUACAUCAUUAAUGUGUAUAGAUUCAAGGUUGACGACUUGAAUGAACUGACAGCAGUCAAUUCUGGCGUUGUUGUGUUGGGAAGCUGUUACCCAGAUUCUGAGUCCAAUUACUAUGGAAGAUUAGAGAAACUUGUUGUGCUCAAUUAUCCCGGGUGUAAAAAGGUCGUUACAUUGAAGUGUCCCUGGUUUGAUACUAGAAAGGGUGUUAAAGUUGAUCUUAAUAGAAUCGUCACAGUAGAUAUAAAGUCAAAGUUACAGUCUGAUGACUUAUUUGUGUUAACCAGCCAAACAACUCAAGUGUACUACGCCCCUAAUAUCAUAAAUUAUAGAAACCCUUGGUACAUUUGUCACAACAAAGACUCGGGCAUUUGAUGGUACUAAUCUGCCUGGAACGGACGUUACAAGAACAAGUUAGCAAUCCUAGCCACGUAGUGCUAAAUUAUGGCGAUGUGCUGGUAGAUGAUGUCGUUGUCGUACCCGAUGUUGAUGAAGUCAAGAAAAAUGUGGUUGGUAGUCCGUAUGUCGCCAUACAAGAUGAUACCGAUGAAGAAAUUGAUACGCGUAAGGAAGAGACAUAAUCAAAUGAUAAAAAUGAUUUUGAUUCUGAGGGGUUUGACGACGUACUAAGUCUUAACUAAUUUUUAUUUUUUAAAUAUUUUACUAAUAAAAAAGAUUAUUAGAAUAAAUUAACUACAAUUUAAUAAGUUAAUGUUAGUUAUUUCAGUAAUACAGUUAUGCCUAGACAUAGCGGUGGAGGUCGUCGUGGCGGCCGUACAGGAUCAGGUAACAGCUUCUAGGGUGGGUCGUCUUCAUCAGUUAGUGAGUUAAUUUCGUUUUGGCACAACCACAUUCAUUUUGUUUACUUUUCUAUACUUUAUAAAAAAAAGUCCAUUUAAUAUUUUUUUCACAAUGCCAUAACUUAAUUAUACCUACAGAUCCUGGACGUCGGCGUCACCAAGGGCCUUACCUCGGUUUAUUAGGUCGUCCUCCUGUAUUUCCACACACAGUUCAGGUUGAUGUCCAAUCGUCGCAAUAAGUUUCAACUAUAAUAUAUCAUGUUCAAUUAAAAUUAUUUUAUUAUGUGAUUGCACAAUUAAAAUAAUCCAUUAAAUUUUUGUAUUCUAUUAUUUUGGACCCUAUCAAUAAAGCGACCGUACACGCCAUAUGCCUGACGCAUCUCCUGGUUGGAUGUAUGCGAUUUAGCCAGUUUGUGCAUUAUGAUGCCUCCUUUAUGGUGACAGUGUUGCGCGAGUUUGACGUAAGUCAAAUUACAUAUAUUAAACCAAAAAUGUGAUCCAAGUUAUUUAUAUAUUGUUCAAAUUUUGACUGAUACGUACAUUAUAAAUUUUUAAUAAACAUAUUAUAGAUAUGAGGUCGACAUCGCUGAGGCAGCCGACAACGAUGUUAUUAUUGCACUCAUCGUGAAGAACUAUGUUGACUGGUUGUACGAGAUGCAACAAAGGGUAGCCCAGGCAAUUUAAGACCAGCCCGGGACAACUAUACGAGAUCAUCAGCCGCAGAUAGUCUCAAAUGCAACAUGGGUUGCCAUGUGUACGUAUUGGGAUAUUGAUGCCUUCAAGACAAAGUUCGAGCAGAUGAAGAAGAAUCGAGGCUAACUCCGGAUUGUACAUACUUUUGGAUCACAUUCAUUUCAGGAGGUUAAGUCGGUGUGUAAAUAUAUUUAGUUUAGUUUAAUAUUGUUGGGAUCUAUAGUAAAGUAAUGUGAUAUUAAUUAAUCUAUGAUUUAGGCCAUGCUGAGCAACUUGGACCGACCUCCUACUAUGGUUGAGUUUUGGGAUAGAGUCCAUACGUCGAAGGCGUCGACUUCAUCGUCGAAGAUGUAUCCCGUAAUAUUAGCUAUAUAUACGGGUAAUACAUCUACUAUAAUAAUUGUUAGUUAGGAUCAUAUCCAACCUUAAUAUGAUGAUGCCAAGUUAACUCCCAUGUACAUAUAUUAAAUUAUAGGGCUGAUUUGAGAAGCUCCGAGACCAGCGUGUAGUUGAGCUGCAGGCUGCUAGGUGCGAUUCCGAGACGUUAGAUUCCACCAUCCCUCCGCCCGAGAUUUUAUCUCAGGAUGAGGAGAUGGCUCUUUGGGUCUCGUCUCAAGAUCCUCCCAACAACACUACUAGCCGGUAUCAAGUGUUGGGGUUGCCGAGGAUACCAACCUAUACACUACCUGGAGGUAUAUUGUUUUUAGUAUAUUUCUCGUUCAUGAAUAAAGUGAUUAAGAUUAUUAUUCAUGUUAUAUUUAUUUUUGCAGCCUCUAGCCAACAUCUGCAUCCGAGAGCACCCAUGGGACCAUCACAUACGGGCAUUAGCUUAGAUGACUAAAUGUUCUAGAGGGUUAUAACGGUGGUGUCGGAGAGGUUUGGUAUGGAUCUGAUAUUUCAUCAUCAGGACCUGCCCAGUCGUGCUCACAUCCACCAGCCUGCUUAGGACAUUGCAGCUGGUGUGUAAGACCCAACUUUUAUGAAUAAAAUGGAAUUUUCUCUAUUUGUUAUUUUGAAAUAGUAAGGGAUUGAUUCGAUUACUGUGGUUAGUUAUGGGUAAAAUGCGCAAAUUUUUUAAAUAAGUAAGUGGUUAUAAAACAUUCAUUGUUGUCGGGGAAUAUUUGUUUAGUCGUGGAAUAUUCUUGCAGUCGGAAAAUAUUCGUACGAUGGCGCAGCCAUUUGUGGGCCCCAUAACGGAAAACUGUCAGAUGAAGAAAACGACAAGCAUGAGUUUUUUUAUAAAUAACGACGUAGUUGUUACCGUUAACACUGUUGGAAUAAAUGGUGAUUAAAAUACAGUAAUACGUGGUGUUGCACAGUAGCACACGAUAUUGCACAAAUUAUUGAUUCUUACGUAAGAAGUCACUACUCAAAAAUUAUUACAGUAAUUAUUGUUCAAUAUUUUAUUUUAUUGAUUCAAUAAUUACUACGUUGAUAUUUUAUAUUAUUGAUCCAAUAAUUGUCACUACACAGUAUUUCCCAUUAUCAGAUCAAUAAUUCAUAUUAUUUGAAUAAUAUUAUUAGAUAGCAUUAUUGGCAAUGUCUAAGGAAUUUUUGCGUAGGGAAAGGGGUUUGGUCACCUAAUUGCUCUAGUAAGGAGAAAUCCUUAUCGGAAAGCCCCCACUUUCUUGGGAACGACAUGGAUGUCAUUAUUGUAAUUUUGUAAUAUUAUUUGUGAAUAAUUAAUUAUUGAUAAAAAUAAUAAGAAAAUAUUUAUUUUUGUGGAUAUAAAUGAAGGAAUUAAUGUUGAGGUGUUUUAUCAGUAUUUUGUCAGGAAUGAAGAUGUUAAAAAUCAUCCGUAUAUGGAUUUCGGACAUUUUCUAUUUAGAAUUUGGAAAAACUUUCUUCUACAAAGUAACAGAGAAUUAAAUUUCCUAUGGAAUGGACAUAAGAUUCAAAUUUUUCUGAUAAAAAGGCUAUUUAUUAUGAAUUAUUGAAGUUCCGAAAUAAUUGAUUUUUGGAGUUAUAAAUAUUUUUUAAAAGAAAAACAUUUUUAAUGUGGGUGGGACCCACUGGUGUGUGCUGAAGAAAAUGAUGUGGUGUGCGUAGGAAAAGUUUUUGAAAAUAUUAGUAUUUUAUUAAAUUUUCUAUUUUGGCGUUUUAAGCAUUUUUCUAUAAAUAGGGUGCUUAAGUUAGAAUUGAAAAUCACACCAAAAUCUGAAGUUUUCUCUCUUUAUUAUAUAGAGCGUAUUUUUGUGAGUAUUUAGAUAUUUUGAGUGUUGCUAUACAGUGCUAGUUUCCUUCAGCAUUAUAUCCGAUAUUUCAGCCAGAAGUACUAUUCUUUUGAGGUAAGAGAUGUUAUUUUUUUCGUAAAUGAUAUUAUUUCUUUGAAUAUCAUUAUACCGAAAUAUUGGUAUGAAUUUUAUUACGAAAUUUUUACCUUUUUAUGUCGAGGUUACUAUUCAUGUAUAUGACACUAUUCACCUAUACGACACUAUUCAUGAAUACAGUACUAUUCACGAGUACUAUUCACGAAGUAUGAUUUUUCUUGUGAAAUUUUUGUCUUUUCGUGUCGGGGUUACUAUUCAUGUAUAUGACACUAUUCACGUAUGUGACGCCCCCAAAAUAGGUCCAUUCCAUCCAACCCAUUCUGAGUCGCCAAAUACAUGGUACAGAAACAACUACAACUUUAUUAAUACAUUUGUCGUGCAAAAUAUGACAACACAUAACUAUGAGUAUAAAUACAAAUAUUAUCUUCUAGACAAUAUCCACACUCAAAUAAGUCCUCAUUAAAAUUAUUGAUACACUAUUUUACAAAAUAGUGAGGACUACUAUAACAACUAUCUUUAACCAUCACUCCACGCCCCAACUAGUUCCUGCUAUAUUCUCGCCUCCUGAGAAGAAAAAUGGAACAAAAAGGAAAAGGGUGAGCUCAACUAGCCCAGUAAAGAAUAUUAGGACUAAGAUAUUGUACAACAAAUUAUCCUUAGUCUUCAACAGGGAAAAAUCUGAUAGAAUAUAAUAGACAACAAGUUUUAGAUCAACAACUACAGCGGAAACAACAAUUCAUUAGAAGAGUUAAGUAGAGAAUGAAGUCUAUUAUCAUCUAUGAAUUUAAAAGUCCAUCAUCGACAUUUUAUCCCUGUAACAUCAAUCAAUAUAUAUCUUGAAUCAAAUAUUCAUCUUUGCACUACAGGCCAAAGAUAUUUAUCAGUCGGUCAUGUUCAUCUCAACACCUGUUCAUCUUUGCACUACGGGCCAAUGAUGUUCAUCAGGAAAUCAUUCAUCUUUGUACUACAGGCCAAAGAUAUUCAAUAAUAUCAUCAUUAGGACUGAGGAUGAUGAAAAUAUUUUCAAGAAAACGAAUCCAGAGAGAUAAAAAGACAAAGAUUAGGAAUUCAUACUUUAGAUAAUCCAAGUUCAAAAAUAUUCCAUAAUAAACCAUAGUGGAGUAAAAUUCAAGAAUGAAGAUCAAAACAUAGAUACAAUCAAAAAUAGUACCCAUAAUAGACAUCUUGGACAAAGAACGAAAAUUUAAUUUUCUAUAAAUAGUGUCGUAUUCGUGAAUAAUGUCGUAUAUGUGAAUAGUGCCGUAUACGUGAAUAGUAACCCCGACACUGAAAGGUAGAAAUUCCACAAGAAAAAUCAUCAUACUUCAUGAAUAGUACUCAUGAAUAGUAACUCAUAAAUAGUAACUCAUGAAUAGUAACUCGUGAAUAGUAACUCAUGAAUAGUAACUCCGACAUGAAAAGGUAAAAAUUUCAUAAUAAAAUUCAUACCAAUAUUCCGGUAUAAUGAUAUUGAAAGAAAUAAUAUCAUUUACGAAGAAAAUAACAUCCUUUACCUCAAAAGAACAGUACUUCUAACUGGAAUAUCGGAUAUAACGCUGAAGGGAACUUGCACCGUAUAACAAUACUCAAAGUAUCGAAAUACUCAUAAAAAUACGCUCGAUAAUAUAGAGAGAGAAAACUUCAGUUUCUGGUGUGAUUUUCAAUUCUAACCUAAGCACUCUAUUUAUAGGAAAAUACUUAGAACACCAAAGCAAAAAAUUUAAUAAAAUAAUAUUAUUUAUUAAAAUUUUCCUACGCACACCUUAGAAUUUUGAAUUUUGAAUUUUACACAUGCUAGUGGGGCCCACCAAAAUAAAAAACAUGUUUUAAACAUUUUUUUGUAACAAAAUCAAUUCAGACCCAAUAUUCUGGAACUUCAACAAUUCAUAAUAAAUAGCCCUUUUAUCAGAAAAAUUCGAAUCUUAUGUCCAUUCCAUAGGAAAUUUAAUUCUCUACAACUUUGUAACUUUAAGUUUUUCCAAAUUCUAAACAGAAAUUGACCAAAAUCCACAUACGGACGAUUUUGUAGGCUAUAAUCAAAUUUUAGUCAAAAAUGAAGUCCACCAACAUGUUUAACAUGUUUUUAAUAUUUAUUAUAACAAAAAUACUCUUUCUCCUCAUUUAUUCAUAUAUCACACAUUCAUUGUAAAAAAUAUCACCAUUAUUAUAUAAUAUAAAAAUAUAUUUAAAUGAAUUAAUUUAUCAGAAAAGAUAAAAUAUCAAUUUUCAACAAUUGUUACUUUUUUAAAAAUUCCUCCAUUUAUAUCCACAUAAAUAAAUAUUUUCCUUAUCAUAUAAAUCAAUAAUUAAUUAUUCACAAAUAAUAUUACAGAAUCACAAUAAUGACAAUCAAGUCGUUCCUAGGAAGGAGGGAGCUUUCCAAUAAGGAUUUCUCCUUGCUGGCGCGCAAUUAGGUGACCAAACCUCUCCUUAGACAGAACUUCCUUAGACAUUGCCAAUAAUGUUAUCUAAUACUAUUAUUCAAAUAAUAUGAAUUAUUGAUCUGAUAAUGGGAAAUACUAUGCAGUGACAAUUAUUGAAACAAAAAUAAUAUAAAAUAUCAACGUAGCAAUUAUUGAAUCAAUAAAAUAAAAUAUCAACGUAGCAAUUAUUGAAUCAAUAAAAUAAAAUAUUGAACAGUAAUUACUGUAACAAUUAUUGAGUAGUGUUUUCCUACGUAAGAAUCAAUAAUUCAAAAAUAUUGUACAAUAUCGUGUGCUACUGUGCAACCACGCGUAUUACUGUAUUUUAACCACCGAGUAUUCUAAUAGUGUUAACGGUACCAACUAUGACGUUAUUUAUAAAAAAAUCAUACUUGUCGUUUUCUUCAUCCAAUCGCUUUCCGUUAUGGGGCCCACAAAAGGCUGCGUCAUCGUACGAAUAUUCCCCGACAGUAAGAAUAUUCCACGACCAAACGAAUAUUCCCCGACAACAAUGAAUAUUUUAUAACCACUUGCUUAUAUAAGAUAUUUGCGCAUUUUACUCAUAACUAACCAUAUUAAUCAAAUCAACCCUUACUAUUUCAAAAUAAUAAAUUGAGGAAAUUCAAUUUCAUUUAUAAAAAGUUGGGGUCUUACAACGUAUACGACACUAUUCAUAAAAAAAUUAAAUUUUCUUUUCUUUGUCCAAGUUGUCUAUUAUGGUUAUUAUCUUUGAUUGUAUCCAUGUUUUGAUCUUCAUUCUUGAAUUUUGCUCCACAAUUGAUUAUUAUGGAGUAUUUUUGAACUUGGAUAAACUAAAGUACGAAUCCCUAAUCUCUGUUCUGUUAUCUCUCUGAAUUCAUUUUCUUGAAAAUACUUUUAUCAUCCUCAGUCCUAAAUGGUGAUAUAACUAAAUAUCUUUGACCUGUAGUGCAAAGAUGAAUGAUUAUUUGAUGAAUAUCUUUGGCCCGUAGUGCAAAGAUGAAUAGGUGUUGAGAUGAACAUGACCAACAGGUGAUGUAAAUGAAUAUAUUUGGCUUGUAGUGAAAAGAUGAAUAUUUGAUUCAAGAUAUAUAUUAAUUGAUGUCACAUGGAUAAAAUAUUGAUGAUGGACUUUUAAUCAAAGAAGAUAGUAGACUUCAUUCUCUAUUUAACUCUUCUAAAGAAUUAUUAUUUCCGCUGUGAAUAUUGAUCUAAACUUAUUGUCCAUUAUAUUUUAUCUGAUUUAUUGAAGGCUAACGAUAAUUUAUUUUUCAUUAUCUUAGUCAUAAUAUUCUUUACUGGGCUAUUUGAGCUCAUCCUUUUCCUUUUUUUUCCAUUUUUCUUCUCAAGAGGCGAGAAUUUAGCGGG